This 70181-nucleotide long non-coding RNA is filed under the name Olea europaea (common olive). RNAcentral's name for it is "long non-coding RNA (OEUR_LNC010811)". The record is from RNAcentral. Lineage: Eukaryota; Viridiplantae; Streptophyta; Magnoliopsida; Lamiales; Oleaceae.
AGAAGGGACAACUAUAUAUGUGGGACAUAUCAAAAUCCUAACAAUAUUCUUAAAGAUGAAAAUAAUAUCAAAAACUUGUGGAAUAAAAGAAAUAAUAUUUUCUCAGUGAAAAAUAUGUUGAAUAAUGGAAACAAAAUUAUCCCCCAGAAAAAUCCAACCGAAUUUGAACUACAAAUCCUAUAUUCUGUACCAUUUGAGUGAGACAUCAUUACAUAUGUUUUAUGUGACCAUUUAAUGUAAAAAUAGAUUUUUUUUAAUUUUUUUUUUCCUUUCCUUACAUUGGAGAUAUUGAGCUAAUGACGUUAAAAGAUUUGCGACAUGAGUGACACAAAUGCAAGAUUGGGGAUAUAGUUGCUUUACUUAUGAAACAUUGGGGGGACUCCAUACAGGAAUUUACCAUAUUUCAAAUUACAAACCAAUGAAAAAGAAAAAUCAAAAUAAAAAGAAUAUAAAAUGGAAUCUAACUAUACUUGGAUUUUAAAUCAAAUAAGAAGUGUACAAAAGCAUAGACAGAUUCAGAUUUUCAUUUUGAAAUUUAACCGACAAUUAAUUACUUAUGUAAUUAGUAGUUCAAACUUUAGGCACGAUUUGAAUUUUAUACAAACACAUUUAUAGCCAAAAAGAAAAGAAAAAAAGAAAAAUGAUAGAAACGAAAAAAGAGAGAAAGUGAAACGAUAUAGAUUGAUUGUUGUAUACAUGAUAUUAUAUUCAAGUUGAAGACCUCUUUCAAGGUGCUACUUCUUUUGUACAACUAGUUUGCAUUCAUGAUGUGUCAUCAAGGGAUGUCAAUGUGCAACUGGUUCGAUUCUUGAUUUUAGUUCUAUGAUUUGACGAACUAAUUUAGUCCAUGUUUGAUAAUCAUUAAAUGAGAAAGAUCAUAUUUUGAAUAGUAAUUUUUAGGUGAAUCUGUUACUAAAAAGUAGAGAGAAAUUUUGUAUUUACAUGCUGAAUAUUUUAUUAUGCAAAUUUGUAAUUGAAAAUGAGUAUGUAAAAAAUAAAUUUCAAAUAAUGAUUUUCAAAUUUGGGCUUAAUGUUCGAUUUGAUUUGAGUGAAGCCACUUAUGUCAAGGAGUUGAAGGUAACUCAGACGUGGAUUGCCUUACGUGCGAAAAAUGCAAUUAGAUCUCAUAUUAAAAGUUCGUGUUAGUAAAAAUGAUUUAAGUGAAAAAUAAUUUUUUUUUUUUAAAUUUGUGGUUGAAAAAUGAGAAAAAUUACGAAUCCCAUAUAAUGUAUAAUUAAAAAAAUUAGUGUCAACGCCCUGGGGCAUAACACAGUGGUACAAAGGAUAUGAGUGAGAUAGUUUCAGCCUUACUGACAAUCGCAGUGUGAGGGUUCGAUUCUUGAGAUAUGAAAUUAGACUCUUUAUGGACACCAGUGUACGGGCAAACUCUUGUUCCCUGCCCUAUUGGAGCACAUCCCGCGAUUUACUUUCUUCACAAUGUUUCAGGGACGGGACGGUGGGGAUUCUCAAGGUUGAGGUUCAACCUUUUUUUUUUUUUUUUUAAAAGUCGAUGCCAAACAAAUAUUGAAUUUUCAAGUUCAACAAUAGACUCCCCACGUGCCUAGAAUAAGCCUAUAUAGCCCCUCGGGGCACAGCUCAACUGAUGGAUCAAUCAACAUUGACUUGCUUCCAGCGGCAGGGUGGAGAGUUCGAUUCCUGGUGGGAACCUGCGGCCAAAAAAUUUGGUAUGGAGCAAUCACUGUGGAGGAGAGUCUCUUGUACGCAGAAGUGUAUAGUCAAUGGGGGGAAUCUGUGAUCCAGUUAAGGUAUAAUCCGCGAUUUACCCUCUCCAAGGUUCUAGGGGCAUGGGUCUUGGAGGUCCAGAAUUUAGUUUGGUGUAAGUUGGGAUACCUGGAUAAAAAAAAAAAAAAAGAAAAAAAAGCCUAUAUAGAACUAAUUAUACUGGCAUGCCCAACCGAGUUGUGCUCGUCGAUUUAGUAAGGAGCACCUCAGUGUAUGCUAUGAUGUAUACUUCUAAAUUUUAAAGUUAGAGUGUGAUUUUUUUAUCCAUGUUUAUCAAGUCGGCCAAUGGAACAAAGCGUGCUGGAUGGGACGAAGUGAACUUAUCUGGCCAUUUCUAAUAAUUUUUUUAAGUAACACUUAGUUUUGUUCCUAGUCUAACAAAAGUAAGCAAAGCACUUGCUUGACUCCAUUAUAAAGAAAAAUUUUAGAAAAAAAUUAUUAUGACCCUGUUUGAGCUCAUUAUUUGUCAAAAAUACAUUUUGAAAUCGUAAUUUAAUGAAGAAUAUGUGGUUAAAAAUAAAGAAAAGAUUGGGAUUUAGGUGUAAAAUUAUUUUAUUGAAAAACAUGUGGUUGAAAAUAAGAGAGAAAAAUGUAUUUUAAAAAUAAUGGAAACGAAUCAAGAGCUAUGGAAUAAUAUUUUUUGGAAGAAUGCGUGUUUAAAAAAGAAUUUUUUUUUAAUUUACUUGUGAUAUUAUUUUAUUAAAAAAUAUGUGAUAAAAAAAAGGGGAUAAAAAUAUAUUAAAAUUUUAAAGGACGUGAAGGAAGGGCUAAGAAAUAGAAUGGUUAAAAGAAGGAAAAGAAAGAUGAUAUUGACAGAAAUGAUUAUCUCCUCGUGUAUGUCACACGCGUGACGUUUCAAAUUAUGACGUUUAGGUAAAGACUUCAACCAUCAUACAAAACUUCUUUUUCGCUUGCAUUUUUCAUCGAUAUCAUUAUGGAAAUUGUUAAAUGUACUAGCAUCUUCUACACGUUAAAUAGACUUUGCUUGUAGAGAUUGAUUUGAUUUUGGACCCAAGAAUAGGAUUUAUCAACUAUAAAUUCAAUCGUGACAACUGGGAAUUAUUAAAUUUUAUUUCAGUUUCGAUACAUUCAAGGGAAAUGCCAAUUUGAAUUAUUCUAAAUAGAGUAUUUGUAUUUAAUUUGGGAUUUAUUACGUGCAAUUUCCAGGAACCAUUGUAGUUUCUGUCCCGUAUAAAGCCUUGAAGGGUUUUGGGUUUUCCGAAGAUUUAUAUAAAGAGAUAAGGUUUUGAUUCUGAAUCAUGGGUAAUUGCUUUUCUGAUUUAGAGGGUGGCAAGCAGGCCGUAGGCGGUGGGAGCCACCAGAGGCCCCAGAAUGUCCGCAGUGAUGCCGGCCACAAUGAUGCAGUGGACCAUUUCUUCAGAACAAAAGGCCUCCACGCUCUUUUCACAAAAAUGGAGGUACAUAAACAUACGUGUAUAUAUAACGUGCUUGCGUCUAUUUAGCAAGGGAUUCUCGGAAUAAUUUCUAAAAUAUUAGUGCUCGGGGCAGACCCUGGGGUCUAUUGUUAGGUGAUAAAAGUUCUUGAUUGCAAGGGAUUCUCGAAAUAAGUACGAAUAGUGCUUGGAGUUGAUUCCAGUACCUAUUCAUUGGGUAUAAGGGCUUGAUUGAAUCUCUCCUAUUAGCUGUAGCUUUUGGGAGAAUUGAUUGAGUAAUCCAGUGAGACAUGGGAGGUUUUAUUUAUAUUAUUAUAAUCGAAAUUAAAAGAUUGUUAUAUGAAUCCAAUGUUUGUGACAAUAGGGAUAUUUAAAUAUUUGGGCAAGCCUGUCCAAUUAAUUUAUCUAACUGCUGAUAUUUGUAAGGCACCAUUGUAGGGACAAUCACAGAUGCAUUACCCCACCACAAUGGAGUUCUCUUAUAUUGUCUAAAUCAAGGGAUGUAAAGUUCUCUCUUGAUGUGGCAAAGAGAGAAUAAUUUUUUUGAACACGAAUUAUUGACUCCUUGGACUUUACUGUCAGGUGGUCCAGAUAUCGAGUUUCGAAAUUCCAAUACUUUGGGAACCAUGCAGGCCAUGCAGCUUAUUUGUAAUACCUCGAGUUAUCGUCAGAUUGAAAACUGAAGCACUCUUGUAGAGUAUAUCACAUGUGAAUUUCUAAAAUAACUUCUUGGGGGGGGGGGGGGGGGGGGGUAAAUUUCAUGGUUUGAGGAAGACGGUCUGGGUAACUGUUCUUAAUUAUUGGUCUUCUACUUCAAAUACUAGAUGAUAGGUUUACAAAAGUGAGCCUAACAAUAAGUAGGAAUCAAUAACGCAUUCACGUGAAAAUGUGGUUUAUGAUAGUAUUUAAACUCUGAAACAAGAUUAGAAUGGAUGAAAAAUCUUGGUGAUUUACUGUAACGAAUGAUCUAGACCUGAUUUCUCCAUUGUUGACUCUAGUGCAUCGUGAAAAUGGCAUUUUGAGAAUUACCUUUGGCAAAAUAUUCAAUAGUUCAGAGAUUCCCAUCUGGCUCUCUUGGCUGAGUAGACCUAGGUAAAACAUGAGACAGGGAUGAAAUCAAGACUUUUCGUGAAUAGAUGGUAUCCUGACUUAUCCUAGGAAAUUAAUAUUAUCUUCCUCUAGUUCCACCAGGAUUUAGUAUCAAAAUUUCUUUCAUCCAAAAUGUUUGUUUUCAGAUGUAUGUUUUGCUGACUGCGUUGCUUAAUCUUAAAUUUAGAAAUACUUAAUAAUUGAAAAUGAGAUGCAUUUCAACAUCAGUAGAGAAGAUAUGAUAGUAAUUGUCUAAGCCACAAGGCAAUCCCUAUUCCGUAAUCUUGGGCUUGUCUGUGAUGGACCAUAUUUGGUCCCUUCUAUUAAGUUGUGUAUUUUGUAGCAUUUGCACUAGAAACCUGUUUGACUGCCCUCACAUUACAUUUUAUUUAAUUGUGAACUGCAGUUAUCUCUAUCAGCAUCAAAGCUUCGUGAUCUUGAUGUCCUGUCUAAGGUACUCAAUUGAAGUUUAGAGACUUAAAUUUAACAUCCCGUUGUCUUUUCAUGUUUUCAAGUGUUGGAACUUUUUUGUGCAUGCAUUAAUUUGGUCCGAUCUUGGUCGUUCACACUUUUGUUUGUAUGCUAUAUCAUAAUAUUUAGCUUGUAGGUCACUUUUUCUAUUUUUCAAAGUGACAGUUUAGAUUUUCCUUUGUCUCUAGCUGUUAUAUUACUGCCUUUGAAAUCCUUGACAUUCUUGAGAUUGUUAAUAUUUUAGAAAUAUUAAUUCUUAAAUGAAUAAAACAUGAAUGCAGUGCCAGAUGAAAUUUAGAAUGGCCUUUUUGGACAUAUGUAGAAUAGAAAACUGAGUGGAGUCUUGAAAGUGUAAAAUUUGUACUCCACGUCAAUGUCAUUGAACUUACUGUGGUGUCACUCUAAGAUCCUACAUAGCAAUAUAUGUGAUAUUAUAUUAUUGAUCUCUGCAAUCACUUCAUAAUUAAUCUGUUGUAAUUUGUUAAAAAUAAUGACGGCAUUAAGAAGAAGAAUAUAACCUUUAUUCCGGAUAAACUUGUUGACUACAUGAAUCUUACCAAUCUAAAGCUCUUUGACAGGUCUAAGGAACGACAAAUUUUCAAUUGCUUCUGGCCACUUUUAAAAAUAUGUAGCCUUGCUGUAGACAUAACGAUGCAUGCACAAAUGGAGCUUAGCAGCAUGUUACAACUCUAGCCAGGAGCUGCUAGUAAAACAUGGAGGAUAUGAAGAAACGUUGUGUAUAAAAAAAUAGGUUUUGGAUUAUUCAAGUUUAAGUAACACUUCAUUGGUUCCCUUUGCAAUAGGAUUUUUGGCAAUCGAGCUUUUCUUCGUUUAUAAUUUUCUCUCUAGAAAGUUACAUGCCAAUUCCUUAUCCAUGCCUGAAAAAUAGGCUCUAGUGAACUUCGAAAAAAUAAAAUAAUCUAAGCGAGAAUGGGAAAAGAAAUUACUUCAAAACACUUCUAGAGUUUGAUGUAAUAAGUUUCUUUCAAAAACAGUUCCGGGCACCAGGAAAAAGAAAUAAAAAAUACAUAGAAAAACAAGGAGAGAACAUGAAUGUGAAGGAUAAUGCCAACGAUCUGAAAUUCUUGUUCGAGAAUAGGGAAGCACGAAUAUACGAGUAAUGGUAUCCCAUUUUUACAACUGUAUCUGCAAUCUAUCCCAAUGUCUAGACAAAAUGAAUGGCUAUUGUACCUUUCUCUAGAUUAACCAAGAGAGGUUAGAAGAAGGGGAGUGAUCUAACCAUUGUAGGGAAGCACCAGGCAGUUGUCCGCUCUCUUUAUAUCAGCCCAUGACUUUGAAAAAGAAUUUUCUACUGAAAUCUUGUCUUCCCAACUCUUCAAGGUUUGUGGACAUCUCUACAGAUUCCAAAUCAAAUACAGCAGAAAUACAUACAUAGGUGUCCUCACUUUUUACUUCUCUUUUCCUUUUCAUGAACUUCUUAGAUGGGCAGGAUAGGUUGAAGGAGAGGAUUGGAGUGGGUCAUUAGAAAUAUGAAGCUUGUUCUGAAAAAUAAAUACAUGGGUGUCCUUCACUUUUUACUUCUCUUUUCACGAAAUUGUUAGAUGGGCAGGAUAUGUUGAAGGAGAGGAUUGGAGUGGACAAUUAGAAAUAUGAAGCUUGUUCUGAAAGUUUUUUCUUUACUUCUUUCACUUUUAGACUUUCUCUCCUUGUGCAUAUUCUAUUUUGCGAACUAUCUGGUCCAUCUAAGAGGAGUGUAAGCAUUUUUUUUUUUUUUUGGGUGGUCGGAGGUGGGGAGAGGAAGCCCUUAUUGCUGCUUUCAUCAGCAAAGCCUUAAAGAUGCUCAACUUAUAAGAAUUGUGGGAUGUAUGGUUGGAUUAUCUUAAUGAUGAUCACAAGUUUCUGUCAUCCGAAUGUGCUGAUUUCCUUAUUUUUUUAUUAUAUUUGAUCAUAAGGUCUUCAAGAAGCCCCUGAGAUUUUGCUAUUUUAUGCCAUAGAAUCAUCUUUGUACUAGAAGUUCACUUGAGUUAGUAUUCCCUUUUAUUAUUGUUCCUUCUAUAUAUAUAAAUAAUAUUUCUCACUGAAGCAUCACAUUCUUCUUAAUUUCAGAGUGAUCCUAUGGUUGUGUCGUAUCAAAAGAAAAGGGAUGGAAGCCUUGAGGAACUUGGUCGCACAGAAGUGAUAAUGAACAACCUGGACCCUGUUUGGAUUCAAAAAAUUAAUGUUACUUAUCAAUUUGAGAUUGUUCAACCAUUGAUGUACGAUUUUAUUGGUUCUCUUUGGAAUGUUUCUACUUUUAUAGAUUGCUGUACCUUUUUUUCUCUUUUGUAUUCUUUUAAUGGUUUGCUUGACUUGUCUAACCAUUUUUUUUCAGCUUUCGCAUUUAUGAUGUUGAUACAAAAUAUCAUAACUUACCUUUGAAGGUAAGCUAUUUUCUUUCAAAAUAUAGUUGAUAUUUGAUUUUAGAUUAAUUUGCUUCACCAUAUUUGUCUUUAUUCAAUAUUGUGAAGCUUGAUGGUGGAUAAAGAAAAAGCAUUUCUUUUCCAUGUAUGUUUGUGGAAAGAUGUUAUUAUAUUUGGGAGAAAAUUCAGAAGUUAUAUUAUGUCAAAGAUACCAUUCAGAUGUAAUUUAAAUACUUUGGUACUAAAAUUUUAAAUUGGCUAUAUUAAUUUUAACUGGCUGAUUUUGAUUGUUGACAUCUCUAGAUGUAUAACUCAAACAACAAUUAAUCCUACUUUGCAGAUGCUGAAGUUAAAUGAUCAAGAGUUCCUUGGUGAAGCCAGUUGUUAUCUCUCUGAGGUGAGUUGAAUCUAUCUGUCAUAUCCUUUGAAUAUAUAAUAAAAAUGCGGGACAGAACAUGUUCUAAAGAUUGUCUUUAGGGGUGAUCUUAGCCGUGAGUUGAAGAUGGAAAAAGCAUUUAUAGUUUUUUAUAUUCUCUAAUAAAUCUGUCUGAUGUCAAAGCUAAUUUUUUUCUGUAUUUUGACUGGUAGCAUGUCUAAUAAUCUAUCUCACUUAAGUUUAAUGCCUCCUGUAUAAUUCCAUUAAUAUGGUUUUACUUCCUACUCAACUUUGUUUUUAUUUGCUUCUACAAACUUCAAAUUUAUUUGCAUCUGUAAAAAUAUAUUGGAGUACUGUUGAGAGUUUGCUUUUGUUUUUAGAAGGAGAGUUUUAUACCUGCUUGUAACUUCUCAUUUCUUGAUCCAUUUGUACAUGAAAAUGUAUUGUAACUUGUGUUAAAAGAAGGUUUUGGUUGAAGGAUGAUUAGUCCAUCAUUUGUUUUUGUGUAAACUGUUAACACAACAGGUUCUACUUUAUCUUAAUUAUCUAUGGUUCUUGGCAUUGUUGUGUUCUGGAUAUAAAUUUGGAUUUUGUGUAGUGUAAUGUUGUUUUCCCUUUCUGCUCGUGACAGAUCGUUACUAGGCAAAAUCAAAGUUUGACCUUGAAUCUUCAUCAUAGAGAUGGACGGAGUUCAAAAAACUUGGGGACACUUACAGUCCAUGCAGAGGAAACUGUUGCUUCCAGAGAUGCAGUGGAGAUGACAUUUCGCUGUUCACAUCUGGAGAACAAGGAUCUAUUUUCCAAAAGUGUAGGUGUUUGCAAAGAAGAAAAGAAAUGAUUUGAAUAACUAGUUAAUAGAGUUUGGUGUCCCUCUAAACUUCUUUUCUUGAAGUGUUCAUAUAUUUAUCUUUUUUAGGAUCCUUUCUUGAGAAUUUCUAGAACUGUCGAGUCUGGGGGUUCCAUUCCAAUUUGCAAGACAGAAGUCGUGAACAACAACUUGAGUCCAGUUUGGAAACCUGUAUGUCUAACGAUGCAGCAAUAUGGGAGCAAGGUAACUUUUCAAACUUGCAUGUCUUUCAGAUGGCAAAGUUUUUUUCCCCCACUUCUGACAAUGUAAUUUUAACAUUAAUCUCUAUGAUUUUAUCAUAUUUGAUCUUUUACGUUUCUAUUUAUAAGCAUCUACCCAGCUGUCACAAGGUAGACAUUCUUAGGUGUUUUGCAUUAAAAAUUGAAUUUGUAGUGUUAAAUUAUAAGUUAUUUAUACAGAAAGUCAUGGGGCAACAUUGGAGAUCAUCACUAAAAGUGUAGGAUUCACAAUUGAUGUCCCAUGUCAUGUCAUUGUACAGCUAUACCAAACCCUCUCUCUUGUUUUUUAAUUAUGUUUCCCUUUUGCAGGAAAACCCAUUGGUUAUCGAGUGCUUUGAUUUUAAUAGCGAUGGUAAUCAUGUAUUUAUCGGGUAUGUAGAAUCAAUUUGUACGUAUAUAGGUGCUUCUAGUUAGGAGUUCAUUUCUGAUCCCCAUCCUGGGAAGUUCAAUGUUUAGUUCCUAGUUUCUUUUCUGUAGAGUUUAGGGUUUCAUUUUUUCCCCUUCCUGUACUGAGUAGUAUUUUCUUCAAACAGAAAACUCCAUAAAUCUGUGGCCGAACUGAUAACUCUUCACCAAAAUAAAACUGGUGCAAAUUUCAUUUCCCCACCUUCUGGAUUUCGGCGUCAUGAAAAGGUUUCUCAUUCUCCUAGUUAAGCAGUGAGUACUUGCAGAGGCUUUAGCUAAUUCUGGCACAUCUGACCUCCUAUCCUUAUUUAUAGCUUCUCAAAGGUCAACUUUUUGUGGACGGCUUAAUUGAGAAACAACUGUACAGCUUCCUUGAUUACAUUUCCAGUGGUUUUGAGCUUAAUUUCAUGGUUGCUGUUGAUUUUACUGGUAGCUGUCUCUCCCAAUCUUAUAUUUUUGUCCUUACUGCAAUUAAAUUGUAGUUCUAGAUUAAUUCAUAUGGGUUUAAACUUGUCCAGCUUCGAACGGAAAUCCUAGAAGUCCAGAUUCUUUACAUUACAUUAAUCCUUCAGGCCAGUUAAAUGCCUACCAGCAGGUAAGCAGGUGGAACACCUUAGUUGAAUAACUGACUUGUUUUCAACAUCUUCAAUUUCUUCUAAAGAAAAUAUAAUAUCCUUUUAUUCGGUGAAUAUAUUCUAAGUACCUUGUUGGAUGAAGACAUCAGUGACUGCCUAUGAUUUGUCAAAAGUUUACUCAAUGAGAUAAAUAAGGUUUUCCAAUGACCAAAGAUGUCACUAUUAGUUUCUUGAUUCUAUUAUGUCAGAGUAAUUUCUUAUCCCAAAAGUUUUACUACAGCAAUUUCCUCUUUUUACUUAGUAUCAAAUAGCAUUUGAAUAAUUAUCACUUUACUUAAAAUUGGGAUUUAAAUGAUAAUACUGACAAAAUGUCAUUUAGGCUAUAAUGGAAGUUGGGGAGGUCAUUCAAUUCUAUGAUUCAGAUAAACGCUUUCCUGCUUGGGGCUUUGGUGGAAGAUCAUAUGAAGGCUCAGUAUCUCACUGUUUUAACUUGAAUGGAAGUCCCAUUGGUUUCGAGGUAACAAUCUUUGCUUGAGCAAUAUUAUUUUCUGAAAAAUUUAAUCUUUCUAUCAUCAUGUGCUUGUUUGGGUUUCAUUGCAUUGGAAACAUAAUGAAAAGGAGUAUGGGUUCUCUGAAAUAUCUGGAUAAUAAAUGGGUGGUAGUUGCGAAUGUGAUUCAAAUUAAUAUUUGACUUCAAAUCAUAAGAUCAUAAUGAAACUCAAACAAGCAUUUCCUAUUAUUACUUAACUGGAAUCGGUCAUGGAAGUAUUUAAAGAUUUUGAUAAUGUUUUAAUUUUAAGCAUGUAUUAGUUUGUAAAUUGUUUUAAACUGGAGAACAACUAGAGGUUUCUGAAAACUAUAGACGAGGCAUGUCAUUAUCUUUAUAUCUUUGGUAGGCUAAAGGACACUGCAUGGAUUUUUCAGAUACAUGUAAUACGUUUAUAUAAAAUUCUCGUUUUUGUUUUUGCAGGUUGAAGGUGUAGAAGGUAUUAUGUCUGCUUAUGCAAGUGCUUUGCAAAAUGUUACUCUUGCUGGACCCACACUAUUUGGUCAAGUCAUAAACAAGGCUGCAGAUAUUGCUGGCCACUCCAUCUCUGACAGUCAUGCCAAGUAUUAUGUCCUGUUGAUUAUAACUGUAUGUCUUGAACAACUUGUUCUUAUGUUUUUCAUGUCUGAUUUUAUUAUUGGGUUAAAAACAUUUUUAAUCACCCCACUUACAGGGUAGUUUCAUUUUGGUCUUUUUGUUGCCAAACCAGUCACUGCAUUUGUUUCAGUUCCUGCAUUUGUCCAUCUCCGUAAGCUGAGUUAGUGGAAAUGCCGAGUAGCUAACAGUAAAUAUGACGUUAACUGACUUGUUAUUUUAGUCUAGCUGGCAAAAUGCACCUAGUUUGAAUCAUGUUCUUUCAGAAUGCGUUUCUGAAAAAAACAAUAAAAGGAAAAAUAAAUCUGACAGAUUUUUCCUAGCUAGACAUUAAGCCCCCGUUUGGCCCCCAUUAAUUUCAAUUCUAUUACAUUUCAUUUUUCUAUUUCCUAUUUUCAACCACACAAUUUUUCAUAAAAUAAUAUUAUACGUAAAUCGAAAACUUUUCCUUCUUUUUCAACCAUACAUUUUUCAAAAAAAAAAAAAAAAGAAAAAAAAGAACACUAUUCCUCCCAUUUUCAUUUCUCCAAAAUGGGGGCCAAAUGGGCCUAAAAAUAAUGCUCUAAGCCAUAUUAGUAUUUUUGUUAGUUCAGCAGCCAUAGAUGUGUGUAAACUGAAAAGAAAUGGAAGUGCUGUGACUAAUUUGAGGGGGAAAAAAAAGGUUUGAUGCAAUAAUUUGACUAUCAAUGUUUUAACCCUUAUAUCAAUUUAAUGCUGUGUACUAAACUUCUAAAUUUGUAGGAUGGAGUCCUCACCGAUCUUCAAGAAACUAUAGAUUCCUUGGUCAGGGCAUCUGACUUGCCACUGUCAAUCCUCAUUGUUGGAGUUGGUGGUGCAGAUUUUACACAAAUGGAGGUAUAUUCUUUGUUUUAUUUAUCAAAGCGAGAAAUUUCUUAAAGAUGGAGUAUUUUCAGUAAUUAAAUUCCUAGAGAAUCUCAUGCGUAAAUUCUGCAAUGCAGAUCCUUGAUGCUGAUACGGGACGUCGAUUAGAGAGUUCUACUGGAAGGAUAGCUACACGAGACAUAGUUCAAUUCGUUCCAAUGCGUGAAGUGCAUGGUCAGCGCCUUUAAUCAGAUAUGACCAUUUGGAUGACAUAAAUUAUUUAGUGCCUUUGGUCCCUUUUCAUCUUAAUAUUUUGGUUCAUCCCAGGAUUUAGAUUGUAGAUUACCUAAAUUAUUCAUCGAGGACUUCAUCAUAAGAUGUAUAAAUACUUUGCAUGCAUUUUUUGUUUAAUGGAUUUAAGAAAUGCUCUGGAUUAAUGGCAUGGUACUGAGGCAAUCACAGUGAUUAUGUUCGGUGUGUUUUAUUGGACAAAACUCGACUCAACUAGACAAUAGAUAAAAUUUUAGUUGGUUUUCCUUUCUUCUUUGCUACCACCUUACAUGUCAAACAUGUAAACUAGUGUAAUCUUUUUCUUCUUGUUUGUGUGAUUUUCUUUUCCAUCUUAAGACAUCUCAGCCGUACAUUUUUUUCAUCCUUUGCAGGUGGACAAAUCUCAGUGGUUCAAGCUUUACUGGAAGAGCUACCAGGGCAGUUUCUAACUUACGUGCGCAGUCGAGAUAUUGUACCUCUUAAUGUGGGCCAAAGUCAUUCUGAAGCACAUACCCAACAAAGGGUUUAAUCCGUCACUGGAGUUUCAUGUUCUCAUACAAAGCUGGUGAUUGGCAUACAGAGUCUGGUUUGCUUUUCUCGGUGCAGUGAUGUAUUGUGAAAAGCAGUGAUUAAAUUUAGUAUGAAAAUGCACAAUUUUGUAUGUUGGGUUAUCUUCUGCUCACCAUAUAUAAACUCCAUUCUCCUGUGAGAUUCGAAGCUUAAAAUGCUACUGGAUUACAUUAUAUAGUUGAGCAGAUCAUGGAUAUUAAGACAAAUUUUUAAAAUAACCUGUUGAGGACUGUUUCGUAAGAACGAAAGAUUGGUUCUACUUUUAAUUUUUCUUGCUUCUGGUUCAUUUUUUCAAAAUUACAUUGCAAACAAUUGUAAUUGAUUAUUUCUUGAAAGAAUAAACUUAAAAUAGUUGUUUAGAGUAUUUGUAAAAAACUCUUUAAAAAUAAAAAGUACGUGAUUAUUAUGGAGUAUUUUUUAAUAGAUCUUCAAUCUGAGAUCUAAUACCACUUUGAUACACUUUACUCACAAGAAAAUACCCAAAAAUAAAUAAAUAAAUAUAUAUAUAAUCCCAAAAAUGUUGGAAACCUGAUUCAAGACUGUCAUAAAGUAAACCUUGACACCAAUAGUGGAAGAAUAACCAUUAGGGCUGAAUAUUACCCUAAUUCCACAUAGGCCUAUGCCCCCAACUUCUUUGCCCAAACACUCCUUUCCAACCCAAAUCAUCAACCCUUCAAUCCACAAGGACACAACAGAUUCGUUCACAAAAAAAUGAGACUAAACACAAAGGAAUCCUUCACCAAGAAGGAGCGAUCAAAGGCAGUGACCAAGAAAAUAAAAAGACAGUUUCAUGAAUGCGAGAAAGGAGCAGCUGAUUUCCAAUUCAAUAAUCUAGAUCAUAUGUUCUUUUCGUGUUUGUAAUUAAUCAUCUCCUAAGUGUUAAAAAUAAGAGAGGAGCAGCCGAUUUCCAAUUCAAUAGUUUAGAACAUAAGUUCUUUCUUUGCAAGUUUCGUGCUUGUAAUCAAUCAUCCCCUAAGUGUUAAGCGUAAUGGUCCCCUUUUCUUUUAAAUUAGUUAAUGCCUUGUUUGGCAAAACAAAUUCAUACCACUAUUUCUCAAUGGAUCCAAAGGCCUUGAUUUAUUUCGAUUGGUGCUAUUUAAACAAAUCUGAUUCAAGUGUUUCAUCUCAAAAAUAGCAAUUUAAUUCUCGUUUGGGCCAGAUCAAUAAACUAGUCUUGUGAAAAUUUUCAAACCACUUUAUUUUCAAUUAAGGUCACUUGAUUUUACAUCACCAUCCACCGAAAGUUAUUUAGCACAAAACCGACAUAUGCCUUUGAGAAGGAUUUUAACUUUGAAUUUCGUACCACCUAUGACAAUCUUUCUUUUUUUCAAAUCAUACAUUUUUUGAAUUUCACUUAGGGAGCAAUGGAAUUUUCUUUAGUUACUUUCCUCCAAUUUUAACAUCUCAUUUAUAUACUAGAUUUCACACAUUUUAUAAGGCUUAAUGCAUUUAUUCAACAUUUUCAACAAAUGCAAUCUAACUAUUGUACAACUUUCUUGCUUUACUUCCACUACCAAUAAUAGGUAUUUGAAUAGGCCAAUAUCAACAACAAUCCAAUCUACGUAUAGAAGUUAUAAUAAUUAAGUAAAAAUUUUCCUGCUAUUACUUCUCGCACUACGAGCAUCCUAUUAUUGGUCAUGAUAACGCUUAAAGUAUAACGCGGUAGUUGCAGUAUUGCUUUGGGGUGUCGUCUCCACAGGGAGAUAAGAAAUUUGUUAAAGGAUCAAAAGUUUAGGGUUUUCUUCGUGUUUUGUGUAAGGAAUUGAUUAGUUUGAAUGAAGUGAAACUAUAAAUUAUUGAAGUAACGCAAUUUGAAUCAAUGUGUGAAAUAAUGAAGCGCAGAAAUUUCCUCGAUUGGUUCGGAUUAAUUACUGUGAAUCACUCAUUCAAAUCACUAUGAGAAACGACAAUAUACCUCAAGUAUAAUGCAGUAGUCAAAUCAUCAAUAAAAUUGUAUGAAAUUGAAAUUCAACAAGUAGUUAAUUUCACAAUAGACAAAACACAAUUGAGUCUAUGAGAAAUAUAGUCAAAGUUAAACCAAUCUCACAACAAUGCUUGAAGUUGAGACCUAAAUCAAUUGAAUGUCACUAUAACUCUAGAAUUUAUAUUUCCUACAGAUAUUCUCACUUUAAUUCAUUGAAAUUAGACUCAAAAUCAAUUACAUACAUCAAGCAUAUAAUAUUAGCGAAUCACACCAAUGAGAUGAUUGAAAUUGGAAUUCAAUACAUACUUAAAUUUUUCAAUGAAAAGAAUAUUAUUAAAUCCAUGAAAAUCUAAUACAUAUUAAACCAAUUUCAAAACAUAUUCAAUAAAUAGGAAAUCAUAAACUAGAAUUGUUUAUCAAUGAAAAAUCAAAUUACAUGCGUGAAGAGACAUUGGCAUCACUGGUACCAAUCAGUUCAUCCCUUGCUUCACCAAAGUUUUCUUAGCCUUACAUGGAGUUUCUGGCCAAAGAUGGGGGGAAAAUGGGGUCCAUGUUCAAUUCCCUACGUUUUGGAGUGUUUUUGGGCUUAAGAAACGUGUCAAAACGUGUUUCCAUAAGUGAUGUUAUCAAUUUAAGGAUUUGGCAAAUUUGGUCUUGGAGGAUAACUAUGCGACCACAUGGUUAUAAACCAUGCGGUCGCAUAGAACAAAUGUGCGGUGCUUAAAAGUUCCUUGGACACUUCUAUGCGGUUGCAUAUAGCUUUUGAACUAUGUGACCGCAUAGUUCAAUUUUUUUUUUGCCUGAUAGUUUUUAGUAUUUUAACCAUAACUUUUCCUCCCAAUAUUCGAUUGAGGUGAUUCAUGUUGAGUUGGAAAGCUAGCACGAAGGGCUACAACUUUUCUUCAGAAAUCAUCUUCCAAUUCUUUCAUUUUCCAUGUCAAAAACGGGUCUUAACAUGAGGCUGAAAACUGGUGUGUAACUUUUUCAAUUGGGAAUUGAUUUGUGAAGAUGUGAUGGUCAUAUUUUACUUCUUUUGACUUGAAACUACACACAAUUGACUCCUAGCUUUCUUGAAUCAUCAUUCCAUAGCCCGUCUCAUCUGUGGAUUAUUUGUAACUUGGUCUCUGAACUUUCACUUUCUUCCACUUUGACUCUUUUUACUCAUUUCUUCCAAAUUUCACCUUUCCAUCAAAUUGCGAUCCAUAUCAAAAUAUAAGAGUAAUGAGUGUUUUUUGACAUCAAACAAUCAUACCAAUGCAACAAUUAAGAGGGCAAAAUAUCAUAUUUUACACUCUUAUUAGAUCACAUAGCAGCCAAAUAGGAAAAUGGCAAAAAAUUCAUACAAGGGCGUACUCGACAUGAUUCGCUUACUUCGAUUAAUCGAGACCGUCAAAUAAAGGAAGCCAAAGUGAUGCCAUCACCUUGGCCGAAGUGUUAUGUAGAGGUUGAACCUCCAUAAUCGAGGCGAAGUGUCGUGAUUUAUUGUAGGCCAUCUAUAAAGUGAAGUCCUUUCUUCCAUAAGUCAUCUUAAAUAGCUUUGCCUCAUCUAAGAGUUUCACAGUAUGAGAUCUUUCAAACGAUUGUCCAAUUUGACAUGUCUUGCAGCAAAUGCCUCUCAGUCAACUUUUCAAACAACUUUUCAUGUGUCAGACUUAGGUUAUAGAGUGGAUGCUUUUUAAAGUCAUUUAAUACCCACUCAACUUAGGCAAGCAAAGGUGACGCCUAUGAGAAUAACGCAUCAUCCUUAAGGAUGAAACCAUGUGCCAUCCAUCCAAUGUUAACCACCUUUUCUCUUCUUUUAUAAAAGUUCACACUUAAUAUCAUUUACCAAAUUUUACACUCGCAAUAGUAACUUUGUUUGGUAUUCUCUCUUCAAAUUCGAUUAUCAUACACACUCUUGUAUCUCUCAUCCACUGUUCCUCUCAUAACCAAAUAUAUCUAUAGUUGACUGAUUUGAUCGUUGAAGUGAUCCCUGUCGCCUCUUCCAUUGCUGAAGAAGGUCACGUGAAACUAAUGAUUUGUUCAAGUGUGCAUAAGUCUUAUAUAUGUAAAGAGUUGGAAUCAGGAUUCGUUGGCCUUGUUGUACUGUUGAAAAUCGAGGUCUAUGCUCACAUUUAUUUAAUAAUUGGAAUAAUCUAUUAUGGCGCAUAUGCAAGGAAUUUUGAAUGCUAAUUUAUACUAAUAUCAAAAUUGAAUAGACUAAUUCACAUUAAUAUAAAAAUUUUAACUGAGAUUAAUUCCAAACAAAUUAUUUAUGUAUUUUAAUGAUAAAAUAACAAAAAAAUUAAAAAUAUUUUAAAUGAACCACUUGUGAUUAAAAAAUUGGUUGUUAGUCGUUGGUUUCUCAAAUUCUUAUGUUGAUAGACGAAUCUACAAGUGUACUCAAUUGAAAUUUUAAGAUUUUAAUGAAUUUCUUGAAUUUGAAUAGAUUUCUAUAUAAUAUAUAAUAACCUCAUUAAACUGGUGAAAUUUUAAGAGAAUUUGUUUUGCGUAUUUUUAAGCUUGAAAUCCAUCAAAAUCUUUUGAAAUUCCUUUACUAAUGAAAUUCUUAUAAAUUCACGAUUUAUUAAGGAUAUCUAGAUUUUAAAAGAUUUAAUUGAAAUUCAUUAAAAUUGGACACUUGAACUUAGAAAGAUUUUUAAAAUUGUAAAAUCCCACACUGCACAUUCUUGUUAAUUUUGUGGAAGAUUCUAAGUGUACAGAAUUUAUACCGGGCGAUAACUAUUUUUGGCAACAAUCAAUCACGGGAAGACAACUAUAAAUUAUGUUAAAAACUUUAUGUAAGUGUAGUGCUUCUCUAAUUUGACUGAUGGUGAAAAGAGAGUGGGAAUUGAUUGCAUUACACUUUCUACUAUUAGGUUAAAACUAUAGCUUGUGAAUCUCUUUAGCAUUAUAACUAAAUCCCAUAAUUAUGUUAAUUUUAAGUUAGAGCCCAUUAGGUAAAUUUUGGUCGGCGACUGUACUAAGUUUUUCAGUUAAAAUUUCUAAAUAUUUUGAUCCAAAAUUUAUUAGAAAAUUUGGAAAAAUGGGGAUUUUAUUUUAUAUUUAUUUUUAGCUUAUGUUUGGAAGCGAUUUUUGCCUCAUGAGAAUUGAUUUUUGGGUCACAUCAUACAGGUCCUAUUGCAUGUGUGCACUGUGUGCUUUAUUACAAUCAACUUAAAUUGAAAAAUUUGUCUCUCAGGCAAGUUGUUCGAAAUUUUAAAUCAUUUCUCCACGAUCCACUCUUGAAUUAUCAUAUUUUGACCAACUUUACAUUCCCGUAGCCUUUCCCCAUCACUAAUUUCCAAGAAAGAAUUUUGUAGUGCGGGGGGCCCACCAACAAUUACCAAAAAAAGACAAAAUGAACUUGAACGAAAGCAAUACCGGAGCUUUUUUUUUUUCCCACUUCUAAAAUCAGUAUAAUGAACGAAGACAGACACUACAUACUAUAGUUUUUAAUGAUUACACCAUUCUUCUAUGAACAUACACCUACUAACAUUGAGCCAAAUAAUCGUGAAAACAAUCCCACUCAUUUCAUUACAUUUCUGGUGCAUUCAUUUCAGCAGUGGCUCAUUCUUGUCGCCUGGAAGAUCCACUACCAUCAUUUUAGAAUCCGUCUCCAUUCUUGCGAACGCCUCGUCCACAACUUCUACUUGUCGAAGGAAGUUGUGUAUACCUAUAGUAGCUAUGACAGCAGCAGUUUGUACUUUGAAAUUGUAACUUGGCAUACGGUUGAGUAUUUUCCAUCGACUUUUUCAUACACUAAAUGCACGCUCGAUCACAUUUCUGCAGGACGCAUUUUUGAAGUUAAAUUUCUCCCGUGCAUUGCAAAAGUGUCUUCUACAGCACAUGUACCCAUCAUAGAAUUACUGGAGAUGGUACAAUAUAUUGGAUCCCUUAUAUGGAGCCAUGUACUCCGGUCUGUGGGUGAAUCCCGAAUCGACAAGGUAAUAUUUUCUCGGAGUAGGAUGUAGAAAAUAAAUUUCAAGACUAUGCAUAGCCUGUGUCGAAAUGCGUGAAUCGCGUGUGGUUUCCUUGAAGCCUAUAAGUACAAAUGUGAAACACAAAAUGAAGUCACAUGCUGCUAGAACAUUUUGCAUUCGAAUGUCUUUUUGUUAGACAAAAUUUACUUGUUCGUAUCGCGGCAAUACAGUUGUAACGUGCAUUCCGUCAAUUGCGCCUAUGCAAUUUUCAAAUAUUGAAUGCUUGUUCAUAUUUGGUACAUGAUGCUCCGCACUGUGAUUAUAGUUUGGAUCAAGUUGUAUUUGAUGUUGACCAAAUUUGAUGGCGACUCCGAGCACAAUCUUGAAGUAGUGUCCAACAAUUUCAAAAGAACGAUUAAAUAGCGUUUGUACCUAUCUGUAUCCUUUUUCAUGCGAUUCAUGCACAAAAAAUCCCAACUUGUUCAUAAACAUCUACAUGCUGAUGACUACGCAGCCUGAAGUCGUCGCAAAGUAUAUGCGUAGCAUUGCAGGAUACAUCCUGAAUUCUGCGUAAGAUUUUCUAGACUACAUUUCAUGGCAUCCAGCAUGAACACGUGUUCGUUUCUUGCGAACAAAAAUCUUCUAAUUCGGCAUCUUUGUUCGCGAUAGUAGUUUGCGACAUCCACUUUUGAAAUGCGAUAGCAUCGAAACCACACCACAAUGUCAUCCUGGAGUUCUUGCACAAAUUCCUCUUUCCCAACAUCUUCUUCACCAUUAGAGCAGGGCAAAAGCAGACAAUUGAAGUUGAAAUGGGCCAUUCUACCUACUUAUUUUAAUGAUGUCGCCCUAUGCACUUAGAGGUGAAGUAGAAUAGGAAGAAAUCAUUAACAGUGCUAUUGGCAAGAAAUUGUGUGCAAUGGAAGAGAAUUGUUUCAUUUUCCCAUUUAUAGAAGUUGCUUCAUAGGAAAUUGUGAUCUAUACAGAUAAUGGCCUCGUAGCAGGACAUGAAUAACUCACAAGAAAAAAAUAUUCUUGAAGCUAUUGAUGUUACGUGUACUACUGAUAGAGAGGGGGAAAAUUUGCUUUAGCAGGAUUCUUGGAAAAGUUGAUGUCUCAAUUCCAUAAUAGUUGGCAUGCAAUGAAAAGCCAACAUAAAAAUAAUAUACAUAAAGUUCAAAGUACAGAUAUGGAUGUAGAAUAUCAAAAGUACUAGUACUGUCCAAAUCACCACAUACAAUAUACCCCUACGAGAAGGAAAUAAGUCCUAAAAAGCAAACAAGUUUGUUAACAUAAAUCGGCCGUAACGGGAAAAUAUUAUUAAUCACACAUCUCACUUCAGUUGAGCCUUCAUAUACUCCUGUUAGUAACAUUCGACCCAGUCGAAUUUCUAUUUCUCGUCUUCUUGCAUUUCCAGUAUCUCCCUAUUUUUUCUUAGGACAGAAAUGAGCACAUCCAGAAGUAUAAGUCUGUUUUUCUGUAAUCUGUCGUCACCUACAACUCUUUCAUGCAUGUCUUAGCAUCAGGUACUUUAAGACUAAUAGAAUUGUUGAUUUUGGCAGCUACUCAAUCACUAGAAGAGGUUUUGCGGUCAACAGAAAAUGAUAAUUCCUGAGCUGAUAUUUUGGAUCUCUUCUCUUUUUCAUUGUCCCUGCCAAACCUCCCUUUGUCUCCCUUUCACAGCCUAGACAGGACAUAUCUGUAUCUGCUCUCUCACCCUCAUCAUUUGACCCGUUGCCCUCAUCGUCGAUCGGAUGAACGUCUUACAUGUCUUCGUAUCCACUAUCUUCGAACAUGGCGAAUCCUUUCUACAUAGCUUUGUUGAUGUGAUUGCGUACUUGUCGCUGUCGAAGGCGUCCCCAAACAGUACCUUAUAGCUGUAUAUCUCUCUGUAGCCUUUGUCUCUGGAUUCUUUGUAGUCCUUGUUCACUUGUCCAAAACACAGUGAAUGAACUCUAACGUAAAAAAUGUACAAAGCACCGAGGACAACGUUUUGAAGAAAAGACUAUCGUUAAUGAACAACAAAAUUUUGAACUUUUCACAUGUAACCCAAGGUUAAAGAGAAGAUGCCAUAAAAUCGUAAGUUGGCAUCCAAACUUGAAUGCAGAGUGGUGUCCACUGGAAUGUAACUAUGCUAUUUUGAAAUAUCUUUGAAGUAGUGUGUUCUCGUUGCUUGAAGAAUGUACGGGCAAACUAUAUAACUCAGUGAUUACAACACUAGAUAGAGUUUAAAAGACCUAUGUUCGCUUCUUCUCAAUUCUAGUGGCUAGAUUCGAAUCAGGCAAAAAUGAGCAUUUGGGCAUCACUUAAGGCGUUACUAGUUAUAACAAUACUAAAAUCUUGAAUACAAGGUCCAUAGUAGUGCAAAAAAUUAUUGUAACGUAAUUAAGAACUACAUGAAAUGGAUCGAACAAUAAAUGAUUGCAAACGCAAACUGCAGCCAUAUCCGUUACACCAUCAUAUACAGACCAAUCUGGAGUGAUGUCUUGUUAUUCACCAUCAUACACUAUUCGUUACACCAGCAAUGUCAAUAAAUGAUUUCCUAUCUCUUUUGCAAUUAUGUGGUUUUAUAGAUAAAUGACCAUGACAAGCAGGGGUCGUAUUUUACUAGAUUAUAGUAAGGCAUUGAAUACUCGUUCUUGUUAUUGGUUAUGGGAAUGCAAUUUUUAUAUAACCAUCGUGUAAUAGAAAAAGGAUGGCGGCAGGAAGCAAUAUACCUUAACCUUUCACUCCCACCACUCUUUCGAGGUAGUUAUUGUUCCCUUGGUAGAGAUUUAUUCAACACCAGUGCAGUUCACCAACUCCUGCAGUCGUUUAUACUUUUGCCGAUGAGCAUCCCAAUGAUUCUUGAGUUGCUGCUUCGUCCAAUCAUGCCUGGAGUUAAAGUUAACAACUGGAUGAGUUGAUUCCAUCCGUGUCUAGUGAAGCGUUUUCUGUUACGGUGAUCGUCAGCUAUUACUGUCUCGUAGGCGAUGAUGAAAAUCUGGUUAUCUUGUGGAGUCCACACGGCGUUUUUCCUGCCCAAUGCUUGGUUCUUGCUUGGAAGAGGGUUGAAGGUGGACAAAGGUAUGUUUUCACCCAUCUGCGACGAAAAAUGGCCAACAAAAAUGCUUUAAAUAAUUUGGGAAUAUCAUACAGCAUACCUAUAUAUGCUCUGUCGUUUACAACAAAUGAACGUGUAGUCGACGCUUACCGUGGGAAAAUAUGAAGCCAUGGCUUGAGCAUGAUAUUGAAUGGACGGACAGGUUCGACGACUGCAAAAUAUCGGUAUGGUCUUGCUCAUCGACAGGUCCUGCUGCGUGGAGAUAAAAGCAGGCGCCGAUGAUUUAGUGCAAAAAAAGAAUCGUCUUCCCACAAUUUUUUAGUGGUCGGAUCUGGAAACGGACUUUGCGGCUGGGGUGAGAGAAAAUCCUAUGGUCUACUAUAAUGGUAGAAAGAGACGAUAAUGGCAGAGAGAAAAGGUAGUGGGUGGUUGAGACAUGUAAAGAUAAGGGCAAAGUUCGAAAGAGGAGAUUAAAUGCCUGUUUUGGUUUUUCAGAGUUGUCAGAUUUUGUGUGAAUAAUUUAUUCCCCAACGAUCAUAUUUUUGUUUUUCAAUGGAAACAGACACACCCUUAAUUGAAUAUAUGAAAUAUUUUUUAAUUGAACAUUCGAAGAUUUGAAAAUAGGUCCUUAUUGACUAAUUAACAAAAUUUCACCAGUGGCUGUAUUUUUUUUAUUUAUCUACUGGAAAAUUCUAGGCCAAAAUUAAUGAGUGACAAUAUACACUAUUUAUAACUACUCUUCCCAAGUGAAAUGGAUGAAUUACUUCACAUCUCUAGCGAUUUGAACUCAAGACUUCUUCCACAAUAAAGAUUUAAAUUGAGUGCGGGUACCAAUUAAAACCAUCUUACAAGUUUAGUCAUACCCAAGUCAAGAACAACAAUAAUAACCAGUGCUUUAAAAAUAGGGCCAACUCAAUCGAUUCAAUUGAAAAUUGAUAGUCUGACCAAUCAUUGGUCUAGUUGUAACUUUUAAAUAGCGUGUAUGUAAACCAGUAUUAAUUGGACGGUUCAAUCAAUAAUCGGUUAACUGAUUACAUUUUUACCGAGUUCUUCAAUUGGCUUAUAAGGAUAAAAAUUAAAAAGAAUAUGCCAUUCGUGAAAGAAAGAAUAGUAGACAGUAGCCAAAAAAUAAAGGAAAGGAAACGAGAAAACUGAAGAUGAAGGAUUGGUGGAUGCGAGUAGCUCUCUAUUUUUCGUGAUGCAGGUACAUUGUAAUGUGGCGGCGAAGCUAGCAUUCGGCGACGUGGCGUGUUGGAUAUAGCCCACUCGCCCCUUCAUUGUUGCAGACUAAAAUCCCCCAGAAGCUUGAUGAAGAUGAAUUGUUGGAUUAUGACCAAUUUUCUUUCUUUUUUUUUUUUUUUAAAGUAGGCCCAUUACCCAUAGGGGAUAGGCUGCUUUGUAUUGUGAAUUCGUGAUCAUGAUUUGGGUAAUUAGUGAUGUUUUGAAAAUCAACUUGGGCAUUAACUCAAAAAAGAGAAUGGAUCAGGGGUCAAAGGGUCGAACCAUAUCGAACUGGGACAAAAUAUAAUUAAAUUAAAAUUUUCAUACAUAUAUAUAUAUAUAUAUAUAUAUAUAUAUAUAUAUAGAUAUAUUCUAUUUAUCAAGUAAAAGAAUAUUUUUAAUAUUCAUAAUUUAACUUUUAAUGAUUAUUUUAAUACCCAUAUCACAUUUUAACACUAAAAAUGGGCCCAAAUGCAACUAUAUAUACAAUAUAAACAAAACAGAAUACAUAUUAUAAUAAAUUAUGUUGAAACCUACAUUUAAAAAUAUAUUUUCAAAAAACAGGGGAUUAAGUUCUAUUUUCACAAAUUAGGUGUUAAUUAGGUUUAAAUAAUUAAAAUUAAUAAAAAUUUAAUUACACCUAAUAUACAUACAUCACCCCACCCCCACGUAACCUAUUUUCUCUCUCUCUACCCACGACACACCUACCUACGCAUCCACCCCAACCAACCAUAUCCAGAAUCAAAGGUUGUGGUGGAGCUUUUCGUUGGGUUGGAGGUACUAAUGUUGCACGCUACGUCGACGACUUCAUUGCUACAAGCAAUCGUGUUAGCCACACCACUACAGUUGUAAGUAGUACUUGGCAGCGACUCCGCAACGAAGCUUCUUAUCUCCGGUGGCAUCGCUGUUGCUGCAAGUAGCGACGAGCACGACUCACAGCAUUGACAUGGCGAUGCUUUUUGCUGCUGCAAGAGUAGGAACAUUGGUGCAGAUCUGCGCAUUGGUGAUGCUGUUGUUAGAUCUAGGUGAGAUGGUGGUGCGAUGUCGGGAUGUAUGGGGAUGGUGGUGCUUAUACAUGGUAGUUGUACGAAUCUUUGAAUUCGUGGUAUGGUGUGGUGUGUGAGUUGUGGUGGUGGCGGUGUUAAUUUAUAUUUGAUGUGGAUAAGGUGGUAGUUAUAGUAGCGAGUCGGUAGAUUGGAGAAAGUAGUGGUGGGUUUUAGUGUAGGUGGUGGCAAUGGUGGUAGUACCAACAUGAGCAUCGUUGGAGGUAGUGUUGCCCAAAAGACAAUCCGUAGCUACUGGUGUUUGACUUGAUUUUUGAUGUGUUUCGGAAGGUAUUAGGCCUAACUGUUGAUCAAUGUUUGUAGACGAGGUUAAGGUGGACAUGUUGGUGGCAUAGUCCGACAGCUUGGAUGGUGUUAUGGAUCUUUCAUAAGGUGGUAGUGGUGUGGUGAUUUCGGUUGUGGUGAUUAGGAUUUGUUAAAAGUGUUGAUGGUGUGCAUUUGAUAUAACCAACUUUAUCUUUAUUGUGACUAUCUGUGAUUAGAUCUAAGUUAACUGUGAUUGUAUGUGACUUGGUUACAUACAGUCACAAAUUAGACUGAUAUGGUCACAGACAGUCACAUUAAGGACAAUGUUGAUCACAAUUAGUCAUAAAUAACACAUAUAAGUGAAUGUAGUAAAGUUGGAGGUAAAGGGGUGGUGACUAGCGGUGGAUUGAGGUACUAGUCUGCGGUGUGUGAAGAUUUGUUAGUGGUGACUCUUUGUGGUCAAGUAUGUGUUUAUUGUGAAAGUUGUGACCAAUUCUGUUAAUUGUGAUCGAUUUUGAUUUGAUCACAUACUGUCACAAUUAAGUUUGACUUGGUCCCACAGAUAGUCACAUUGAAUACAAAUUUGAUCACAAUUAGUUAUAUUAAAUACAAAUUUGGUCACAAUUAGUCACGUAUAAUGCAUGUUAGUGACUUGGAAAUUUUCUGGAUGGGUGUGAUAGAAGGUUGAGGUGGAAUGGAGUAUGAUGGUUCCGUGAUGUAGGAUGUAAUGUUCAAAUUUUAAUUUUUGAAAAAUUUUUGGGAGGUAAAGAUAUGUAGUGGGGUAAGUGGUUUUGUAAGGUGGGUAUGAUUUCCAAUUUUUAAUUUCUGGAAUUUUUUUCGGACGUGGAUAGUAGGGAUGGGUGGGCUUGUGGAGGUGGAGUAUGGUGGAAUUAACACCUGAAUUUUGAAAUAUUUGACAAUUUUGUUAGUUUUAAAAUGUAAUUCUUAUAUGUGGAAGUUAUGUAUUGUUCCCUACAUAUUAACUAAAAUUAAAUGGGCCAAAAUAAAAACCCUACAUUCUAAAUUAUUCCUCAUUACAUCUCUACCUAUAAAGAAAAGAAGACGACGCCUCUCUAUGCUGUGGAUUCUUUCUUCUUCAAUUUUUAAAAGUUUUUUUAUUUUUUAUUUUAUAGAUUUUUGGGUAUUUAAAGUAGAGAAGAUGGUUUUACAUCAAUGAGCUUAAUGUAAACGGAAGAAGGUAGAUGAAAGACCAGUGCUAAAUUUUGAAUUUUUCUAAACUUCUUAUUUUUUUCCUCUCAAAAUCAACCAGGAAACUCAGUAAAAACCACAACCAGGACGUCAAUAUUUAGUUAGGACAUCUGGCUUUUUGAUUUUUAAGCCAGUUCCUGACCUAUGGGUUUUAAGCAUCAACUGAACCGAUUAUCUAUCCGAUUCUAGAUUUUUCCGGUUGAACCGACCAAUCCGGUUGGGUUUCCAUAAUAUUGGUAAUUAGUAAAAAACGUAUUUACCCUUCAAUGUUAGUAAAACGUCCUCACUUUUCAUUUUUUGGCAUUUUCACCCUUCUUUUACAUUUCUUUGCAGAAAUCAUCAUUUUCAUCUAAUUUUUCAAUCAAAAGUGUAAAAUACAAAUAUGCCCUCCUAUUUAAUUAAAAAAAAAAAAGAAAAUAAAAAUUAAAAACGAAAGUGAUUUUUUCAAUUUUCAAUUAUUUAUUUGAAAUUUAGUGUUACUUUUUUAAAAACUUGAGAGUAUAGAUGUAAUUUGUUCUUUAUUUUUGUUUUACUUAAAGAAGAGUUUAUAUUUGUCAUUUUAUAACUUUUAAUUGAGAUAUUAGUUCAUUAUAUAUUUUUUUUUAUUGAGAAAUUGGAUAAAAAUGAUGAUUUUCGCAAAUUAAAAGUAAAAGUAAGAGCGGAAAUACCAAAAAAUGUGGAUAUUUUGCACAUUAACAUUAAAAGGUAAAGGUACUUUAUGUCACAACUCCAUUUGUAUAGAUAAAUAUACAUUACCCUGUGUGGGAAUGAACUUGAUGACUCGACCUAGACAUAGGAUUCCACAUUUUUUUUUCACCUGAUGAUACGACAUAAGCAUUUUCACAAGUAUGUCCCUGUUUGUUAACUCCUAGUCACAUGUGACAAUCAUAUAUUAUAUCAGAACCAAAAUUAUAUCACCAUAAUCCAACAUAUAUGUUUUGAGGUUAUAAACAUGUCUACAGGUCAUGUCAAAAGAUAUACAAAAUAGGAUCCCCAACAUAUAACACAAUAAACCAUAAGCUUAAAAAAAAAACCCCACAAAAAAACCCUACAGAUCGUCAUCCAUGUACAUCGAACUCUGGAAUCCUGUGAGAGCUCCAUAGCUAGUCGUGCUCUCUAUGUCGUUUCAGGCUCACCUAGAAUGCAAUAACUAUAUAAACCAAUGCUUAGUAAGCAAAAAUCAUGUAUGUCAUGAAUACGAACAAUAACGAUAUAUGCUACUAUGCCAUUUACUUUAAGCAUCAUAAUAAAGAUGCAUCAUACUCCAAUAUUCAUUAAAUUCGACUCGAAAUCAUUUCAUUUCAUUGGGCCUUUAACCCACUUACUAUACACUGGAUAAAGCUCUGCAUAAUAUCAAUAUCAAUAUCAGAUGGCCAAUAUGAAAUCGACACCGACGAGUGGACCAUCCUCUCGUGACCAUUUGAGGCCCAUCCCCUAACUAUCCCUAUGAUCACCCAAGAAGUCUCCCACCCGACAGCGCUAAUAAUCAUAAUAUCACAAGGGUAGAGUCCAGUGGUCCACCCUCCCAUAAUCACUAAAGCCCAUCCCCUGUUUAUCUUUGCAAUCACCCAAGAAGUAUUAUCCGCAAUGCCAAACAUAUCACAUAUGCAUGCCUCACAUGCCUCGGUGUAUUCAUAUGAAAAUGCUCAUGAAUGAUAUGUUUAAUGAAGAUCGAUAUCAAUAAGUUCCGCAACCGCAUCCUCAAAGAUCAUAACCAUCAUAUGAUGUACAAUAAGUCUCUUAUCAAAGUUAUGUAAAUAUUUCAAUACUACCAUAUCACAAAUACUAGGUUCUUGCAUCGUAGUUGGAAAUGGAUUUUACUUACCUUUUGCCCUUGUGUGUUCAAGCUCCUACAGAGUGUGUAUCAAUUUUCUUUUUCGUUCAACGUCGAAAAAUAACAUGUAUUACCAUCUAAUAUUAAAGAUAAUCCUCAAUUUAAUAACCUUAACACACACAAUCACAAAAUACGUCCAUUCACACCAAAAUAAUUUAGACAAAUUCAUCAUUUCAAGUCUUCGAUGGCAUUACAAACGAGUCCCAUAAAUCUCACUAUUUCUCGAGUCCAAUUAUGAAUGCCAACAUCAUCCAAUUGUUGUAAACAACAUAGUACUCCUUAGAAUCUAUUUCCUAGGCCCAAGAGAUGAUUAAUGGAUAUGUAAAGGUUGAAAUGACAAUAAAUAAGGAAAUGACAGAAUCUGUUUUUCAAGUUUCCAUCGUUGUCCAACUAUUUUUCCAAUCCUCUUUUACCCCCUUAACUAUAUCCAACGACUCUCAAAUUUUUACCGCACUUCUAUAACAUAUAUAUGAAGGUAAUCAUGCCCUAAAGUCGUGACAAUUGAAGUGUUUUUAGCCUCCAAAAACCAUCCCUUUUCACCACACCAAAUCAGGCAGUUUUAUUUUCCUUGUGACAAUUUUCGGUUUCCAUUUUUUUAGUAUGCUACCAACAAAACUCUAGGCCAUUAACAUCAUUUCAAUACUUCAUGCUUGCAUAUAAAAACAUUCAUAUUGAUAGGUAUAAGUUACAUUCUAACUAUCAUCCAGAUUACUUUCUUUCAAAUUCUUGUAAUUAAUUACCCCUAUUUUGGCAUCAUAAAGUCAUUAACAACACUUCAACUAAUCACAAGAAAAUUCAUAUAUUCAAGAAAUUAUAAACCCAUCAAGAAAUAAUGGAUACAAACCUCAAAACGGUGAAGCAACUCAGCAGUUCAGAAAUUCCAGCUUCCUGUUUCUAUUUAUCUUUAACUCUUUCACUCUCUUUUUAACUUGGAAUCACUUAGGGACGAAAUAAUGGAGCUAAUAUAUUAUCUAGGAGGUGAGGUCGUGUUUCUUGCUUAAAGACUGAGGAUUUUGUGGGAUACAGCCACUUCAAGCUACUUUGGUGAGUAAUAAGCAGGAGGUGGCUUCUUGCUGCAAUAUUUGACCUUCUACCAUUGUAUUUGGAUUUGUUUAUGACUUAUACGAUAUCUAUAUCCAUCCUAAAAGAGAUCAUGCCUUAAGAUUAAAGAAAUUGAGUGUUAAAAUGACAAAUAUCCCAAGCAUGAGGUGUCCAAGCAUGAGGUGAUCAUUUGUAGUAAAAAUCUGAUUUUAUAUCUAUCUUUGCAGGUACAAAUUAAGUAUCCUUAGCUUAUUUUGAUGUGUUUACAAUCCAUUUCACUUUCCCUAAGAUCCCAAAAUAUAUUAUAAAACUAAUUCCUCAACCGUUCAUACAAUGACUUACUCGAUCGACUCCCGAUUCUCAACCGAUUUCAAUAAUUCGCACCUCAAUAUUUAUAACGUCAUAUGAAACGGAUAUUAUGGCGUUGAAUUCAUGUCACUUCAUGCCUCAUGUCUCCAAUAUGUCAAUUACCUAUCUAGGGUUUAAGGUGACCUUGAUCAACCGAAUGGAAAGUUUGAACCUUUGUCGAUACUAAUUUUCGACCUAAAUUUCUAUCAUAGUUCAUGUAAAAUUCACCACCUAGGUCUAGGAGUCAAAGAUAGUCACUGUAUAAAGAUUUUAAAGCCUCGAUGAUUGAAUGCACUAUUUUAAGAGAAAGCAAUUAGGAAAUUGAUGUAAAUAACAAUGUAAUUAGCAUGAAAUGCAUGAAUCAUAUUGGCCAAAUGUAUAACAUGAAAUUUGGGAUAUUACAUUUUGUUAAUUAUCUUUUUUGACAUUUUAUUAUGAAAACCAUCAUUUUCAUCCAUUUUCUCAAUUAAAAGAGUAAAAUGACAAAUAUACACUCAUUUUUAAAUAAAACAAAAACAUAGAAAAAUGAAAAAUAAAGAACAAAUUCUAAAUAAACAUUUGGAAUUUAUUCUUUUUUUUUUUUUUUGAAAAUUUUGAGAGUAUAGUUGCAAUUUUUUUUUUCUUUUUCUUCCUUUUGUUUAAUUUAAAGGGAGGAUAUAUUUGUCAUUUAGCUUUUAAUUGUGAAAAUAGAUGAAAAUGAUGAUUUUAGUAAUGAAAUAUGAAAAUAAGGGUGAAAAUGUCAAAAAAUGAGGAUGUUUUGCUCAAUAAUAUUGAAAGGUAGGAUUGUUUUGUACUAAUUAUCUUUUUAAUAAUUUAUUUGGAGUCGUUUGCACUUUUAAAAAAAGUUCGUGAGUAUUAUUGAAAUUUGUUCUUAAUUUUUUUAUUUUUUUUAUUUUUUUGGUUUCAAUUAAAUAGAAGAGUAUAUAUGUCAUUUUACUUUUUAAUAGAGAAAUUGGACGAAAAGAAUGAUUUACGCAAAGGUAAAAGUAGGGGUAAAAAUGUCAAAAAAUGGAAAGUGACGACGUUUACAUAAUAGCAUUAAAAGGUAUGGAUGUUUUGUACUAAUUACCCAUUAUGAUUUAUGCACCUCCUAAUUUCUAAACGUGUAUGCAGACAACCCAAUUCCAAACUAUAUCUCCCUAGUCCCUCUCGAUGUGCAUCCUCAAUGCUGAGAUUUCACUUUUCGCCACUGCCAAUGGCCAGUUUUGUGAGCCUCUCUUAUUUUUGUUUUUGUUUUUUAGUUCAUUUUUUAUGCCAUUUUUGUUUGAAAAUGAUUUAUGAUUUACAUUUUAUGAAUGUAAGCCCUACAGUUGAGGUUUUUGAUUUAUGAAAAUUAGCUAAUUUGUGAAUAUAUGAUAUUUGUAAAUUGUGAUAAAUGUUGAAAAUUGAUGAUAGACUGAAAUCUAAAGCAUGUAGUUGUUUAAGCUUACGAUUAUGGAUUGAGGUUGUAUCAUUUAUUUUUCUUAAUAUUUUGGGUUGUAUUGAAUUAUAUUUUUAUUUUUUAUAUUUUAGUGCAUUUAUAUAUAGAUUGAAUUUCUUUUUAUAUUAUAUUUAAUUAAAUAUUAAUAAAUGACCUUACUAUUGUUGCAAUUGACAGUCGAUGGUCAAUGGUUGCCCUGGCUCAUCGACACACUUGAAUUUGCCACUGUGGUUAUGAAUAGGUUAAUGUUUAGGGUUCAAAUUUAUCAUAAUUGCAAAAUUUGUCAAAAAUCAAUUGAUAUAUGACAUGUUCUAACAAUUGAUCUCGACCUAUAAAUUGGGUUAUUGUGAUUCAGUAUGAUAUCUGAUUUUGACAUAAUUUAUAUGUGACAUAUUGGCCACAUUCAUGUGAUCAUCCAAUAUUCCCCUUCCCCAGUGCCGGAAAAAGGGCCCACGUGGUCUUGUUUGAGAAGCAUUAUUCUUAUAUAUAUUUAAUUAAAAAUAUUUUAUAAAUUAAAUAAAUUAAUAUGACAAUAUUAUACAAUUUAUAAUCGUAGUUACGUACUAGUCAAUCACAGAAAGUCAUAGUCACAGAUCAUAAAUUUUGUAGACUAUUACUUAUUUAUCAAUUACAAAUCACAGAAUAUAUAGGUCACAAUUUAUUUAUUGAUUAUCAAAUUAAUUGGUCAUAAAUUAUUUAUCGAUAAAAAAUUAUCAAAUUAAUUUCUCAUAAUCUAACAAACUGUGAGUUUUGAUUACAAAUUUAACCGUAAUCUUAUUUUUUUUACUUCACACAUUAUUUAUUGAUAAAAAAUUAUCUAUUUUAUUCAUAACUUAUUAUUUAUUGAUCACAAAUUAACUAAUUUAAUUGUCCCAAACACUCUUUAUCUCAACCCACCCUUACCCAACCCCAUCCCAUCCCAUCGCCACACCUCAUCACCACAGCUCCACUAUCAUUGCCAAAAGCACAACCAUUGCCAUAGCAUCACUACAUACACCGCAACCAACUGCAAACACCGUCAUUGUACUGCACAGUACAACACAGCACAACACAUUACCAUUGUAUCGCAGUGUACUACACUGCACUACAUGGUACCACCACCAAUCGCACAGUACUCCACCACCACUACACCACAUAGCACACCACCAACACACCGUACCAUAAAAACACUCCAUCACUGCACCACCAUUUGAACUCUUGCAAAACCACCAUUGCACCAAAUGCAGCGGCAUGAAGGGCGUUUACUAUGAUGUUUAGUGACACAGUUUCUUGUAGUCGUUACUCCCAUCACACUAUGAUGUUUAGUGACACCAUUUCUUGUAGUCGUUACUCCCAUCAUUGAUGAAGUUUAUGAUGAUCUGUUUUCAAAUGAGAAGAAGUAGCUUGUUGGAUCUGAAGCUUAGGCAAAGUGCUUUGUUGUUCGUAAGAGUUUUUUUCGGUGGUUAUAAGAUAUACAUAUUUAAGUUAAAUUACAACGAUAAAAUGUGUGAUUAUUGCAAGAAUAAAGGACACAUUAAAAGGAAUUUCUAUAAAUUGCAAAAUAAGGAUAAAUUAGUUACUGCAAAUCAGAAGGAAAAAUAAUUAGAAACUUCAAGACAAGUUAGGAUUACAGAAGAUGAUUAUAAUGAUGGAGAACUUCUAAUUAUUUUUUAUGGGCGACUUCAAACUUGACGAUGAUUUAAUUCUUGAUACAACUUGCAUGUUUCAAAUGUCCUAAUCGAUAUUGAUUUUCAAUUUAUGAAACUAUUUCUAAAGGUGCUAUGAUAAUGAAAGUAAUGCACCAUAUAAGAUAGUUGGUAUUAGAAUGGUCAGAAUUAAGAUGUUUGAUGGGACUAUCAGGAAACUUUGUAAUGUGAGAAAUGUUCCUAAUUUGAAGAGAAAUUUUAUCUCAUUGAGUACUUUGAUUCAAAAGGAUACAAUUGUACUUGUGAGGAUGGAGUCCUCGAGGUUAGCAAAUGUUCCCGUGUUGUGAUAAAGGGGUAGAGAAUGUCCUAAUUAUAUGUCUUGCAAGGUUUUACAAAAUAUAUUAAUACAAAUUAGCAAAAAAUUAAGCACUCGUGUGGAGUUUGAGACUGGUUUUAGUACCAUUGAAGUUUGGUUUAGGGUCUAGAUUAGAGAAUACAUCUCAGUCUAGUUCAGAAGUAAGGGUAGUUCCUCUUUACCACUACAAUCAAUGUUGCCACAAUAUUUUAUUGCUAAAGACAGACUCUAAAGAGAUAUUAAGGUCUCCACAGAGAUACAAUGAGGCUGAUUUGGUUGCUUAUGCUUUGAUUGCAACCAAGUUUGAGCAGGACUUGGAUUUAGUUGGUAUUUGUUGUUAAGUUUGCUCUUAGAUGCUUUUCUGGAAGAGGUAGAGAUUUUGUAGAGCGAAGUUUAUUUUUUGUAGUGAAAUUCGUGUUAAGGUGGAGAUUUGUUAGAAUUUGGUGUGACUUGAAUUCCAUUUGAGAUGUCUAUUAGGAGUUGGCUAAAUGUUUUGAAGAAGUGAAAGAUGACAGGGAGAAUAAUUUGACGGAAAAACGCUCGCUAACCAUGUAGGAGAUUCUCAAGUAUUUCAUUAACUCCAUGGCUCGCUAAUUGCCUGGUUAGUGAUCGAGCAAUGGAUUGAUUGCUUGCUAAUUGUGAGACCGUUGCUCGAGUGGUCAUGUUAUUGGCCAGAAUUCUAAUUGUGAUUUUAGCAAUUUUUGGAUUCCUAUUCAACUUCCGAAAAUCCAUUAUUUGUUAGGCCUAUUAUAUUAAGACUCGACAAUUUGUUAGACUCUUCUUGUGUUAUAUAUAUAGGAGUACUUGGGAGAUUGAUAUUACACAAUUUGUAAUCCUCCAUAUUUGGUAUUAGUGAAUUCUUCUCUUCUACCGUAGUUUUUUCCCUAGUUGUGUUUUUAUGUAAAUCUUGUGUUCUUGUCAUUAUUUUUCAUAUUGCCAUAUUCUCAAUUAAGUUUCAACAAAUUGAUAUUAAAGCAAGCUGGUAUCCGUUGUUUCUUCUGACAAUAACUUCUAUAUCUUAUAUUAGUAUUAUCAGUUAUGACGUAUUCCACUUAUCUAAACAAAUCAUAAAUAAAUUCUUCUUGGUUAAGAUGUAUGAAGUAGGAAACCAGUUGAGAUGAAUAUAUUAUAUGCUAUUUUAUAUGGUUUCUACAUUCUGGUUAGGAAGCCUCGAAAACCCAUUAAUCAAAACUAAGUCAAGUAGGAAAGGGUAGAUCUGUGCUAUAAACAAGGUAGGAUCAAAUAUUUCGAAUUCUACUGUCACGCUCUAUACAUAUAUCCUUGUCAAGGAGAUCGAGAUAUGUUCAUUGUGUAUCCAAGUGCUACAAAAAUAAAAUAUAAGGGGUCUAUAUGCGAGGAAAAAAGGCUACGGAAUUGCCAUACAAUUUUCAUUUGUUUGAGACCGUCGUAGUAGUUUUUUCCAAUAAGAACUUUCUCGCCCAAUGUUCGUUAAGCACGUUGUCCAAAAAAAAAACGAAAAAGGAAGAGAGAGAGAGAAUUUAGUUUUUUCUAAUCUUAUCAAGCUUUAUAUGUUUAUCUUCCUAAACCAGCCAUUCAACCUUCAGUGUCACUAAGUUUUGUAAAUUAGGAUAUUAUUUGAGUUACCAAUCAAUAAUGCUGUUUAUGAGUUCCAAUGAGAUUUUUGCUUUUUAGUGUGGGUUGGAAAUUGAGACAAAAUCCUCGAUUUUCUCCUAGGAUCCUUGUUCAAAAAUUUCUUUGAGAGUUAAAUAUUAUAAAUGUAUGAAAAAAAUAGCGACAAAAAUUUUUACGUGAAAAACUUUCACAUUGAAUAAAAAUCAUGAACUAUUAAAAGAGAGAUAUUCGACUUGAACCUUUCACACACCCUAUACCUGAAGCACAAUUCAAAAUAAAACACUAAGUCUCACCUCAAGAUAGUCUAUGACAAUCUUAAAAAUUAAGAUAAAUAAAAUACUAAGCUGAAGACUUAAAAGGGAUACAAGCUUAAGGUAUUCUAGUUUCUUUUAAAAACUACUCAAAAAGAAUUAACAACGAAGAAUUGUUGGACGGAUAUAAUUUAUUUAUUUAUUAUUAUUUUUUUAAUGCAAUCUGUAGAUGUGAAUUCCUUCCCCCAAUCAUCAUGAUGCGGCUACUCUAUUAUUUUUUUUUCUUUUUCCUUUUCUCUUGUCCUUUUUAUUUUGGCUUGUAUUUAUGCAAUAAUGGCGUACCCAAAACCUUUUUUUAAUUUUAUUUUCAAAACUUUAAUUCUCUUUCUAAUCAUAAUUUAAUUAUUAAAUAGACGUAGUCACGGAGCUCAGCCUCAGUUUGUCUCGCUAUAAAACAAAAAUUUUCAGUUGUGACACUUAUUUUCUAUCACACAUUCACAUAAUAACAUAUUUUGCAAAUCACAUUCUACGUGGAAUAGACAAUUACACACCUAAUUUAAUUGGAUAAUACCAAGUCAAACUCUCAAAAAAUUGAAAACACUUGAAUACGACCCGGCGUCCCUAAGGCAUGAUCAAAUAAUUGGAGGUCUACUAUUUGGCCCCAAUAGUUUUGUUUCGUAUCGAGGUUGCCUCAUCAAACAAAUUAGAAAACUUCCAAUCGAGACUGCAUUCUACGAAAAAUGAAAUGUUGGGGAACUGUAUUAAAGUUCAUUACACAUAAGUUUGUGAAGAAUUUUUGGGUUGAUAUUAAGCGCAGAAAUACAAUAAUAGAAUACUAUCAAGUACUACAUAGUCUUAUCUUUCAAAACAAGCAUAAGCAUAUGGAUCGUCGCUGAUUUAAACUAGGAAAUUAAUUGAGCAAUGUGUCAUAAUGCCAUUUUCUCCAUAUUGUUAUAAUAAAAUAUCGUUUCCACUUCGUAACUCUCUUUGAUUUUUUUACUUUAAAUAUUGUUUCAACUUUGUGAUCUUGUUACAUAUUUCAUAAAACGUCAUUAAUCUCAAUCCUUGCGUUGCCUUUGGAAUUAACAAGAAGAUGAUAGAUUUGUGUUAUCAUUGAGGUAGGAUUAUAUAAUUUGAGCUCCACGUUAAGCCCUAGAGUGUUUAGUUUAUAUCUGGCUCAAUAACUAUGGCAUCGUCAAGGAGAUAGAAAAAGUGUUGAGAGCCAAAUACAACAAAAAUAAAAAUGAGGGGCUUAUAUGCAACAAAAAUAGUUAGAAACCUAUUUACUAAAUUUCACAUUUGCUUGAGACUUCAAAUAUAAUUUUCACACAUAAGAAUUUUCUGAACCAGAAAUUGAUUGACAAUACUAAAUGCAACUCUUCAUGACAUGGGAAUAACCGAUGUGUAAGAUGGCUCACGCCACCCAUGUUUGGAGUGUAAUAUGGUUUGCGGGUUUGCCCAAGGCUCGAUGCAUGCCUUAGAGCUUCUAUGGUUUUCAUUAUGAUCAUAUUAUAGUUUAAAGUUAAACUCAAACAUUAAUUUUAAUAAUACAUUUAGAAUUACUAUCCAUAUAUUUCACACGGGAUCCAUUACUCAUCUUCAUGAUAAUCUCAUUAGAUUUUCCCAAUUAAGUACUUAGUUGAGAAACUAUAGACUGAUUAUGACAUGAGCUCUCCUCAUUUUGCACAAAGCCAUCGAGAUCAAUACUGGGCCUCUCGGCCGUCCUCAUUAUACACUACUACGUAUGACCCGAGUUAACGUUCUUCAAAUUAACAUUUUUUCUACAACUUGUAUAGCUUUCUUUAUUUAAACAAUUAAAAUAAGUAGAUUCAACGAAAUUGCAAAAAGAAUAAUUUUUUUUAUUACAAAUGAUAUAUAUAAAUGAUAAAUGAGGUCAUUCAUCCUCAAUUAUUUGAUUUGAACUCGUCAUUUCAAAAAAUUAUAGGCUCCAAAAGUCUUCAAAUCAAAAGUAAAAUAUACAAUCAGAAUCAUACAUAUAUUUCUUGACCAUGUUUUGUAUCUAGACGGAUUGAAGUGAACUUGUUCAAAGAAUAAUGGCAGAUUAAUAAACUCAAAGACGUUCAUCUAUUGGACUGAAGUUUUUUUCUUUUUUAUUUUAUUUUAUUUUAUUAUUUUUUUUUUUUUUAAGCAGUCAUUUUCUUCUGUUUAAUGACAAUCCAUGGAAAGUGGGACAUUUUAACAAACUCCCAUUUGAUUCACAUUCUUUGGCCACAAAAAUAAAAAAUAUGAUCCUUAUCUAUCUAUCAAGUCAUCAUAUUUGAAUUUCUAUCUUUUGUGUGAGUUCCGUAACGACUAUAUUUUUUAUUUUCAUUCUUAUAAAAAUGAGUAGCAAACGGGACAAUUUGAAUAGUUUUUCUGACUAAAGAAAGGAUCAUAUGACUUGAAUUUAUUAUUCAAGGAUUGAACGAGUAUCAGUGUACUGGGGAUGUAAACCAAACCGAGCAACUCUACACGUAUAGAAAAUUGCUUACCAAAAUUGUACCAGAAGCAAAGUGUCAGCAAUCUGACAAAAAGUGGAAAAAAGAAACUAGAUAGAUGAAAGCAAAUUCUGUCACACCUGCAUUCUGUAGUAGUUCUGUUAAACUACUACUGUACAAACAGUUUAAACCAAACCGCAAUUAUUGACCAAAAGAAAGUGAAUAGAGUUUAGAUAAUGCCAUUGAAGUAAUGAUCACGAUGCAAAAAUGCUUUGUCCCAUCUCGCUUUACCAUGCUUUAUUGAGGAAACAGGACGGAGAAUAUGGUUCUUGCUUCAAACUUGUUCCCAUCUUAUUUUAUUUUAAUAUUUAAAUUGUAUUUAAAAAUAACAAAAAUAAAUAAAUAAAUAAAUAGAGAUACUUUAGUUCCGAUGUUGUCCGGACCGUGCCACACAUCCCUGCCUAGCCCCUUGAAAUCCUUGAUGGGGUUGGCAUACUAGGAGGGCCACCGUGGUCCCAUCCUAUUGUCAUCCAUACAUUGAAUGCAAACUUUAAAUGAAUAAACGUGCCUAGACUUUAUUUAAAGUUCAUACCGUCACAUGAUAAAGACAAUUGAAAUAAAUACAAUAAUAGCUUAAUCUUUUAGACGAUGGGACUUAAAAAAUGCCACUCUUUGAUUUGUAUAAAAACCACAAGCUUGUUAUUGGUUUAAAUAUCUACUAGUCAAUCGGUCAUUGUUCUUCACUACUUUUUUCCAGAAAAUAACAUUCCAAGAUGGCAGAGAAAAGCAAGAUUCUGAUAAUCGGAGCAACUGGUUACAUUGGAAAAUUUAUUGUGGAGGCAAGUUCAAAACAUGGACAUCCAACCUUUGUUUUGGUUAGAGAAACCACAGCUUCAGAUCCAAAAAAAUCAGAAGUCAUACAGAAUUUCAAGAACUUGGGCGUUUCAAUAAUAUAUGUAAGUAAUUAUUCGGAUACUAAUUCGAAUAUCGAUCAACUGUGGUUCAUUGUUAUACUUUUUGUUUGUUCUUGAUGAAAUUACAGGGAGAUAUCUAUAAUCACGAAAGCUUAGUCAGCGCGAUCAAACAGGUCGAUGUCGUGAUAUCUGCUGUUGGAACAACUACAAUUGCUGAUCAGGUGAAGAUUAUUGCAGCCAUCAAAGAAGUUGGUACUAUCAAGGCAAGCAAUUGUAAUUUUUCGAUUUUUCUCAAGUCUUGUAAUAUUCUGUUACCCAAAUGUAAAAAAAGGUUCGUUUUCAGAGAUUUCUGCCCUCGGAAUUUGCAAGUGACGGGGAUAGCAUGAAGGCAGUCGAGCCAGCAGCAAGCCUGUUUAGAGAGAAAGUUAAAAUCCGGAGGAUCAUCGAAUCAGAAAAAAUCCCAUAUACUUAUGUAGUUUCUAAUGGCUUUGCUGGCUACUUCCUGCCUACAGUAGGACAGUUAGAUGCCAAAGCUCCUCCUAGAGAGAAAGUUGUUAUUUUAGGGGAUGGGAAUCGUAAAGGUAAUCCAUUACACUAAGCAUUUAAAUCUUCAAACUAAAUUUAGAGUCGACUAAAUGAAUUAUUUUUAAUCACUUUCGAUUUGUUGCUAUGUCUACUGAAAACAACUAAAAUGUAACUUCAAAAGAUGUAGAAACUAUUUUUCAUCUAUUAUAUGACUCAAAUCUUGUGUUUUCCAUUACAAGCGAUUUUUGUCAAGGAAGAAGAUAUAGCGACGUAUACUAUCAAAGCUGUUGAUGAUCCAAGGACCUUGAAUAAGAUCCUUCACAUUAUCCCUCCUGCUAAUGCACUGUCCUUCGAUGAGCUCGUUUCACUGUGGGAGAGUAAGAUUGGAAAGACCCUUGAGAAAACGUAUAUAUUAGAGGAACAGCUUCUCAAGAACAUCCAAGGUAUGUUGGAACCAUUCUACGAUUUUACUUGGCAGUUGUUUGUCUCCCAUUCUUUCAAAACUCCAUUUUUUAUUUUAUUUUUUUAAAUACUCAUUUUCAAUCACACAUUCAUACAAUAAAAUAUUAUACACGUAAAUCCAAAAAUUUUCUCUAUUUUUUAAACCAUAUAUUCUCCAAAUAAAAAAAAAAGACUAUUUACAAAGAUAUUUUUCGAAAAAAAGGGCAUAUAUUUGGCAAGUGUUUAUGAACUAUUUAUAAACGUUCAAAAAAAGUUCAAAUAAAUUUUCAAUUAUAGAUUUCAUGGGAUCCAUAAGUACUACUUAAUAUCAACCACUCUUUUCUAUCUAUACAAAUCCAUUUAUGAACACUUCCCAAACAAGCACUUGGUUAAAUGGGGGCAAUUCUAAAAUCUUGUGAUAAUUGCUAUUACACCUUGUGAUGGGCCUAGAUGGGUGGUAGAUUGGGCUUGGUUUGCAAUGAAAAUCGAGCUGGCCGAAACCUGUAAGUGGACAACUCAAGCUUGUUUGCAACUCUGUCGGUCUAACCUAGGACGGUAAUCGGGCUCGCGGCUUGGGCAGUCCGUGCUCGACUCGAGGCUCGGAGACACCAAGCCAAGUCUCAAGCCGAGCCCAAUUUUGGGGAGUCAGCUCGACCACGGGCCGACACACACACACACACACACACACACACACAUAUAUAUAUAUAUAUAUAUAUAUAUAUAUAUAUAUAUAUAUAUAUAUAUAUAUAUAUAAAAUCNNNNNNNNNNNNNNNNNNNNNNNNNNNNNNNNNNNNNNNNNNNNNNNNNNNNNNNNNNNNNNNNNNNNNNNNNNNNNNNNNNNNNNNNNNNNNNNNNNNNNNNNNNNNNNNNNNNNNNNNNNNNNNNNNNNNNNNNNNNNNNNNNNNNNNNNNNNNNNNNNNNNNNNNNNNNNNNNNNNNNNNNNNNNNNNNNNNNNNNNNNNNNNNNNNNNNNNNNNNNNNNNNNNNNNNNNNNUAUAUAAUCUCCAAACUGUCGUCUGUUGCCUAUUUGGAAGCUAUUAUUUGAAUAGUCGAAAACAGCAGCAUAAAGAUGCUGUCGGGUAAGGCUUGCUGCCUUAACUGGUAGCUUUAUGGCUGCCUCAACCGGCAGCUUUAUUUAAUGCCUGUUUUUGCAUCUAAACAGUUGCUAAAUAGGCAGUAUAAAGAUGGCUGCCUCCCAUCGAGGUUGUUAUAAAGCUGUCGGUUUGACAGCUAAGUAGGCAAACAGGCAACAAAGGAAAGGAAAAAAAUUUCGAGCAGGUUUGAGUCGACCCUUCUCGGCAAGGCUUGAGCUGAAAGCUCAAGUCAAGCUUUUGCUUGACUUGGCUCAGGCCAAAAAAAGGCUCGAGGUAAAAAAGCUCAAGCCAAGCUUAAGCUGAAAUUUUCGGCUCAGCUCGCUGACACCCAAAGUCCAACUCAAUUAACAUCAGUACCUUCAGCUUAUUUUCAGACUUAGUUUCACAUUACCUUUCUCUACCAAACAAUCAAUCUAAGGGUCCAACCCACAACCAAUAUAUUUACCUCGGUUGCUUCUAAAUCUUACCCACAAACAACAAGAUAAUGGUAUAAAUUUGUAGUCACAAAGGCAAGAAGAAAAUCAAUGAAAAGAGGCAUAAGAGGAGACCAAAGACAUAAAAAGCCAUUAGUUUUGGAAGCACAAAGUAGUUGAUUUUUCUCUACAAUAUGGCAGUCAUGUUUUCUUCUAUGUCCAUAUCGAGAUUCAAAGCCAUCCAAAAUGUAAUAUGUAUGGGUUGGGUGGAGUUUUUGGACUUGGUUGUUGGUAAUUAAUUCACGAUUGGUCGAGGUCUGUAAAGUUAAAUUCUAACAUCUAAUAUCAUUGCUCGAAAUUUAUUGUGUAACUUUGAUGCCCAAUAAACCUGCAAGAAUCAGAACACACAGUUAGUACUUGCAUAAUCAAGGUAAUCAAUAAAAUCGGAAUCACAAAACUUACCUCGUGUUUUGGACUUUAAAUACAUACCAUACUUGCUCCACGUGCUCACUAGGGUUAAGGCCACAAACAAAUAUCCAAGUAGAAGCAGAUAAUUACAGCGACCAUUUAAGAGCAAAUAAUCAUACGAUGAAGAUAUUAUAUAGGAUAACACACAAAUCUUUUAAAAAAUCAUGUUCACAUAGAACAAAGGUUAACACCAAAUUAAUCAAUAAAUUGCCAACACACAUGCAACAAAUGCAUAAAUGACCCCAUGAAAAGAUCUCGCUACACUUAUCCUAUCCCAUUUCAUGUUUAUACCUCGAGAAUACAUAUUUCCUCUUUAAUCUCCUACCAUGCUCACUAGACUGAUCACUAAACUCAUGUUUAACAAGUAAAUCACAAUAGAUCCUAAGUUUUUGGGAUAAUCCUUUAUUACCACAUUACUUUUCCCAACCUAAAUGCAUAAUGAGUCUCCACCUAACCAAAGUAAUAGAAGUGCCUUUCUCACACUCCACCUUAUCAGGGUAUUUGUAGACAAAAGAUUCUAACAUUGAAUCACCCCUCCACUUGUGAUACAAAUGACACACUCCACAUCCUUGGUAAAAACCACCAAUGCAUACUAAGCAUCUAUACUCCACAUUACCAAAUAGACAUCUCACAUUUGCUGUUAAUACAUCCUAACCCACUAUGCAUGAAAACAAUUACACUAAGUAGUAAAAUCACUUCAAUUCAUGUAGUUGCGUACACACACAAACAAAUUAAAAGUAUAACAUAUUAACGCAAUAGAAUUAAGCAAUCACAUAAAUGCAGAAAUGAUUAUAUGCAAAUGUACAUGCUAUAAUUAUGUUUACUCAAUAAAUCUCACUAUAAUCAUCAUUCGACCCUUCCUCACCUAUCUUCUUACUCUUCUACUUAUCCUUUUUCUUAGGCCAUUCCCUAAUUAAAUGUCUAGACUUACUACAGGUGUAACAUCGUCUAACGCUAGACUUGACCCAUCCCUUGUCUUGCUUUUUACCACCCUCAUUACUCGAGUUGCUACUCGAAUCACGAUUGUAUUGAGCUCUACCUAAAUUCAUUUGCUUAAACUUCAUUCUACUCUUCAUCAUAUGUAACUCCCCACUCUUCUUAUUAUUUUUUUUUUUAGCCUUAAUCCCCAUCUCCUUACUCUUAAGGGAAUCUAUGAAAAUAUUAGGUGUUAAGGUGUCCCUAACAUAGUUAAUUGCAUUCUUAACAUUUUUAUAUGAAUUAGGCAUUGAAUUAAGCGAAAUAAUGGCCUUAUAAGAUUUAGAUACCUUUUCAUCAUAGUUAAAAAUAUUUUGAACAGGUUUGUUGAAAAUAUCCAAAUUGUCAUCAAGAUUCUUUGAACUAUAUAUUUUAAAAUUGAAAUAUCUUUCAAGUAAGUACAACUUAUUAGAAGUGGACUUAAACAAAUAUAAGUCCUCAAACUUUUGCCAUCAUUGUUGAAUCAAGUUUUCCAACUUUUCUCAAAACAGUGUCAAAUAGAUGUAAAAUAAUUGAAGUGUAAGCAAGUUCAUUAUAUUCUUGUUUUUGUGCUUAUGUCGAAUUUGCAAGAAAUUUACCAUCUAUGUCUUUUGAAACUUAUUGUUAAACUAAAAUCUCUUUCGACUUUUGUUGUCAAAUUGAAAAAUUACAUUUUCUAUCGAAAAUUUCAAUUUCGAAAUGUGAUGAUAUUUUUGAAAGACAUAACAACUAAAGUGCACAAAUAAGUCACAAAAAGUAAUCCUAAGACCGUAAUAUACACAAUUCUAGAUUUUCAGGAUUUUGUAAGAUUCACGAUCUUAGAUUAGGGGAUGUUCAAACGGGUCAAGUCUAUGUGUUUUAAUAGAAUAAUCCAUGCAAUUCGAAGAUAUGUUAACAAAAAUCAAGUUCUCAUGCAAUGUAGACAAUUAAACACAGACCAAUUAUUAACUUACGAUCAAAUUCAUCACUUCAAAUAAGGCAAAUAAUUCUAAAUUUCUAGCAAAAGUAAUGUUACCUCUUUACGACAACCCAAAUCCUAACGUCACUUCACAUGAUGAUGCACUAAUGUUGAACUUUAAAUUGGGAUAAGCAAAUGUAUCAGAGCGUACCAAUCUAAUUUUGUAAAUUACAAGAUUUGCGAUUUAUCACUUUGGGACUACCACUAUUUGUCCUAAAGUCUCCAGCAACCAAUCGACCACGAUCGAAUCUCGAAUGCAUGAUGGAAAAAUAUGUCUAGAUUCCACUGUAUAACUUGAAAUAGAAAAUUAACAAUACCAAAAUGUCAGAAAAACUGUCAACAACAAAUUGCCUAAAAAGACCUCCACCGGAAGACUCCACACAUGCCUUCACUUGCCACCAACAGUCUCUAUGCGUGGGCUUCAUGCGCUGCCGUUGUCGAUCAUACACCUCACCUCCGGGAUCACCUCCACUUGCACAUCACGCUGGUGGUCUCCGUUUUACCAAACUCCUUCAAGAUUGAUCGAAAAUCACAAAAAUAGCCUCAAUUUUUAGGAAAUUUUCUAGACAGUUUUGCAAUCUGAUUUCUACUUCCUUUUAGCCCAUUUUUUUUAGAUGGUUUUUGAUCAAAUUUUUGUGCUAAAUCCACCACAUUGAAGCUCUUAUACUAAUUGUCAUGAAAGCUCGCUCCAAGGAUCGUCAAAUUGAUGAUUUUUGGGCUCGAUUUUACAUUUUCUUUCUCUACCAAACAGCCAAUCCAAGGUUUCAACCCACACCAAUAUAUUUACCUCGAUUGCUUCUCAAUCUUACCCACAAAGGACAAGAUAAUGGUGCUGAUUUGUAGCCACAAAGAAGAAGAAAAACCAAUGAAGAGGCACAAGAGAGACCAAGGACACAAAGAAGUCACUAAUUUUGGAAGCACAGAGCAAUCGAUUUUUUUCCACAAUAUGGUAGACAUGUUUUCUUCUAUGUUCAUACACAAAUUACACCCUAAAAUGGCACGGGUAGACACACACACACAUAUAGGGUUAGAUUAGGCUUUAAAUGGACCAAUAAUAACGUUAGAUGGGACAAUAUACAAAGACAUUCAAGAUGUAAUAUGUAUGGGCCGGGUAGAGCUUUUGGACUCAGUUGUUGGUAAUUAAUUUACCAUUGAUCGAGGCUCGUGAAAUUAAAGUCCGAUGUUUAACAUCAUUGCCCGAGAUUUAUUGAAUAUCAAAAACUAACAAAAAUAAACAAUCUUGCUUGGUGCAGAUCACAGUAUACAUCAAGUUUUACACUCUUUCAUGAGUCAACACACAAUUGGACGGUUUAAAUUUUUUAUUAUUUUUAUUUUUUUUUAACACCAAUCAAAGUUUCACACCAAGGAUGAUGUCAAACAUGAUAUACAAGUGGCAUUAUUGUAAAAUAAAUAUUUUGGUCAUCUAAAUUAAAAAAAAUGGCAUUUCGCACCUCUCUUAAUAUUUUAUUUGUGAACUUAUUUUGUCUUGCAGAUUCUCCAUUGCAACAAAAAUUACUCCUCGCCAUUUGCCAUGCUGUCUUUGUGAAUGGAUUGACCUUGAAAAUUGACCCUUCUUCUGGGGUUGAGGCUUCUGAGAUCUAUCCAGAGGUGAAAUACACAACCAUGGAUGAAUAUCUGAAUCACUUCGUUUAAAAUCUUAAUUAUUUAAUAAUGUAUGUGGUGUUUGUAUACAAUCUAACUUGCUUGAUUUUGUUAUUAUUGUAGUGUGGUACUUUAAUUUACAGUUUAUUUUGCUCCUACUUGCUCCCAAUACGUUUAAUUACUUAAUGAGAUUUGUCUUAUUCGGGAUUAACUUUCUACAAAUUCAAAAUGCUGGAGACAGCGUUGCCGAAUUGAAAUAGACAAAAAAAUAAAUUGAAUACUAGUAUGCAAUUUUUCCAAAUAUAAAGGAGACGAAAUGGCGAAAUAGUUCAUAAAUAAUGUGGAUAGAAAGUAAUUUGAAUAUUUAUAAAUAAAUUUGCUUCACUAAUAGGAUAGUGAUUCAACUUUGAUUGUUAUGGAUUAGUACCGGACAAAUUUUUCUAAUUUUUUAAUGUGUUAUAUCCCCAAUAAUCUCAUUUCUUUCAAUUGAGCAAUUUUCAAAUAGCAAACGGACCUUCUCAAAAGGUAAUUUUGUUGUGGCAGAUUUUCCCUCUUUUGCAAUCAAUUUCGUUACAACACCCGCUAUAUAUUUAUAAAAAUGAGCCAGACAUAGGCUUAUUCUGCCCAUUAUUUCUCCACUUGUCUUUCCACGACAAAAUAGACGAAUGUUGUGAGCCAACCUGAUUGAUCGUCCCAUUCAAACUAUGAUUGACAGGACCAUCUAACCCGUCAAAGAAAGUAAAAUCGAUCGACCCAUCGAGCAACUUUGCUUCCUACGGUAUGAAAACCCUUUAAUGGGAAUUGUUCAUACUUCAGUGGCUCCAUUCAAUUUUGGCUGCUUUCAAUGUUGCAUUCAUUUGGAAUCGUUCAAUGGCGGUCUAUAAGGCCUACUGCCAAGAAUAAACAUGGCAAUUGUUCAAUUUCAGUUAAAAUUAAAUUAAAUAUAGACAGGUUAUAUAUUUUUCAGAAAAUACAUCUAUAAAUAUUUUGCAGACAAAUUAAAGAUACAUUCCCUAAAAUUUCUGAUAAUUUGAGAAAUAUUCCAUUCAUUUAAAAAAAAAAAUUACAAAAACCUCUAUUUCAAAUUUUGAAUAACACAUAGCUUCCCUAAGUUUAUGAGGAGGGCAUUUAUAUUCUCAUAACAUUUUUAUUUGUUGACCCACGAUUUAAUUGUAUUUAAAGUCCAAAUCUUUUCUUUUUUUAAUACUUAUAUUCCUAACAUUUUUCUUCGCAUUUUUAUCCUCAAAUCUUCAAUAAUUACCAUAUACGUGCAACAUAUUAGUUUGCUUAUCACAUUUUUAAAACAAACAAUAAAUAUAACAUUUCAACAAAAUUAUUUUUCCUCAUCUCAAAGACAAGGAUAAAUGUGCUAAUUAAUGAAAGGUUUAAAUAAAAAAUUGCAGAAAUAAAAGUUAGAGACAUAAGUGUUAUAACAAGUAAAUACUGAGGAUCGUAAGUGAAAGUAAAAUAUGAUGCAACAAAUAAAAAGGGUACUAAGUUAACCAGUCAUGAUCUCCUAAGUAUCGAUACUUAGUUUAUAUUAAGCACCGAGUGACGUGGCACACUACAAUAGGUGGCAAAAGAUAAUGGUUAAUUUUAAAACUAAUUACACCAUCCAUUAUAGUGUGCUACCAACACACGGUGUUUAAUAUAAACUAAGCACCGGUGAUCAGAAAAUCAUUUUCGCUAAUUUAACCAUCCUUAUUACAAUUUCUGAGACACCCCUCCAUUUUCAUAAAUUACACAAAUCUCACUUAUUUUAAGUUUUAAAUAAUGCAUACCUAUUCCAAUUUGCUUCUUUUCUUCCCAAGGUAAUAGUAUUAAUGCUUAAAAUACUCUUAGAAACUUUCUUCCAUCUAAUGACUACUUAUUUACAAAGAAAUACCUAAAAUAUUAUUUUAAUACUUCUAACUAAAUCAACAAUAAAGUAUUGUUUAGACCAUUAAUUCUUAAAAAUACUUCCAAAUUUGAUUGAUUUGAACAAUUACAUUGGGGGAACAGAAGAUGGCAGAUUUCUGUUUGUGACUUUGUCGACAAUGUGUCUAAAAAGAUUGACAAUUGUGAGGAAAAUGCUUUCUUCUUUGAAUGUGAUAGAUAACACAUAUAUUUCAUUAUUCAUAACUUUGCAAAUUUAUAAUUAGUUUUUAUCCUUUUUGCUUUAAUUGAGAGUUCGCAAGAAAAUGAAGUUGUUGAAUGAUUAAUCAUGUAGAGUUCAAAUGAACAAUGCGGAUGACUACUCUUAGUAUUAGUUAUAUUAUGUAUAGAGUGGUUGUUUUAUUGUCAAAAUGAAAUAUCUAGUAUUUUGUUUUUUAGAUUCUAUUUUGAGUAUGAUCUCUCUCUAUAUAUUUCUUGUGAAUUAAUAGUCUAAAUAAUACUUUGUGUUGAUUUAGUUAGAAGUAUUAAAGGUUUAUUUUAGGUAUAAAGUUUGCAAGAGUAUUUUAAACAUUAUUACUAUUUUUUAUGCUAACAUGGGGUCAAUGGGGGUAUGCGUUAUUCAAAAAUUGAAAUAUGAGAUAUUUGCGACUUUUUGUAAUUUUAAUAAAUAGAGGACUUCGGGAGAAUAUGCAUUAUUCAAAACUUGAAAUAAGAAAAGUUUUUGUAAUUUUUGAAAUGUAAGGAUUUCUAUGAAAGUUUGCGUUAUUCAAAAUUUGAAGGCAAAUGUGCAUAUAUUUACUUUUUUAAAUAAAGAGGUGUUCCUAAAAUUGUAAUAAACCUCAAAGAGAAGUUUAUGUAAUUUACCAUAUUUUAUAUUUUAAAAUUUACCAAUAUUUUUUAUUUCUUUAUUUUUAAAAACUGUCCAAUUCAUUUGGGACAUACCUUCCAGACAUGUCAAAAAGUUAAAAGUCAUGCACUAUUUCAAUAAGAGAAGUGCUAUAUGUAUAGGAAUUUUUGAUAAAUUGCGCUAGUAUUCGUUGGACGCUGGACACAAAACAAAUUUAAACCAGUUAGUAUAGUAUUGUGUCAUAAUUUUCAUAUGUACAAAUAGCUUAUUCUUUUAAUAAUGAUUUUAUAGAUUUUUGCACAUCUCAUCCCAACCUUAAGUGCAAAGCAUUGUUUCUUUCAUCGUUCUUGAAAUUCAAACAAUGUCUAUCAUGAAAAGUGGUUUUUUUCAUCGGUAAAUGUGAAUUACUAUAAAUAAAAAAUUAUGUACAAGUAUACCGGACAUACCUGGAUAAUCAAGGUUGAGACGAGUACAAGUACAGUGGGCAUACCGGGCUAAUAAAGAUUAAUUCCAAGUACAAGGACACCGGGCAUACUAGGGUGAACAACAUGAAAAAAUGAACAAAGACAAGAUCUAAAUAUCCAAAGCAGAAGACUCAAAAUGAAUUAGAACGUAUGGAUACAAAUAUAACAUAACUUUAUAUACGUGUGUUUUGAUGCUUUGAACAAUACCUUCUACUCGUGGUCUUAAAUCCUCAAAAAUCCUCCUGUUACGUGCCAUCCAUAAGUGGUAAAUGGUGCUUGCAAAAGCUAUCCACCUAGCUUUGCUUUGCCAAGUCCUUCUCCAAGCCUCUUUUUUAAUCCACUUCAACACACUAGGUAGGGUAGACAUGGAGUGCCUAAUGCCCAACCAAUCACAAAUUUUUCCCCAUAAAACAAAACUAAUUGGAUAGGAGAAGAAAAGAUGAUACUCAGUCUCAUCGGCAAUCCCACAGAAAAUGUACCUUCGGUCAGUUUCCAAAUGCUUCAAUUUGUCCUUUGUUAGUGACUUCGAUUUAGCUCCUAACGAAAGGAUAAAAGCAUGUUUCGGGAUGACAUAGGCAUUCCAAAUAGUAGCUGUCCAGGCAGUCUUCAUCCCCUUUGGCUUGAGAAAAUCAUAAGUUGCUGUUACAUUGAACUUGCUUGCUGCUGUGCAUGCUGAAAAUCUGUCCAUUGCAUCCUGGGUUGCUAGAUCAGGCUGUACAGUGCUAACUAUGGCCUGAACUGGUUGUUGAGGCUGCAAAAACAUGUCCCGAAUUUCCAGCAGUCUUUUAAGUGGUGGAGGGUUAUCUUUCCUUGCCGUGUAGUCCCAAAUGUCCUUUCCACCAAGGAAAAUCAGAUUUACCCACUUCACCCGAAGAGUAUCUUUUUUAUUAUGAACAUUUGAAAGAGUUUUUGCAAGGAUCGUCGUAUUCAACAUUUAAUUUCUAUGAAUCCAAGCCCACCUUUAUGUUUCGGUAAGCAAAUACUAGUCCAAGCAACCAGCAGUUUUUUUGAAUCCCAAAGAAAGUUCCGACGUAGGCUAGUAAUCUUAGAUGCAACCGUGGAUGGGAUAGGUAGAAUGGAAAGCCAUAAACAUACAACACCUUGUAUGACGGCUCUCACUAGCUCUACUCUCCCUGCAUAAGAUAAUUUAGCCCUCCACCAUGCUCCAAUGUAGUCCUUAAUUUUGUUGAUAAGUGCAUCAUAGCAGUUGCUUUUAAGUUUUCCCAUCGCAAGUGGGAUACCCAAGUAACGGAAGGGCAUAGAUCCUUUGGCUAAAUUUGCUAGUUGAAGAAUAUCCUCCAACUCUUGUCCAUGAACACCCACUUUGUGCAAAUUCCACUUGUUUACACUCAUCUUUAGUCCCGACAUUUCUCCAAAGUUGGAUAAACACUCCAUUAGAAUACCAACCAAGAUAGCAUACCUUCUAGCAAAUAACAUCAAAUCAUCUGCAAAUGCUAAGUGGGUAAUCUUCAAUGGGCCACAUUUAGGAUGAAAAUUGAAUUCACUAUUUUCAGUAGCCCCCUUCAAAAUUUUUGAAAAAUAUUCAAAGCAAAUAACAAACAAGAAAAGAGAUAGUAGAUCACCUUGACGAAGCCCCUUCUUUCCUUUUAUGAAUCCAUGGAAACAACCAUUUAAUGCAACGGAGUAUGAAGGUGUCAAGAUACAUUCCAUCACACAUCCAAUGAAUUUUGUUGAAAAUUCAAGACCUUCCAACACGCUUUUAAGGAAGUCCUAAUUUACGAAAUCAUAUGCCUUCCUUAAAUCAACUUUAGGAAGGCAUCUAGAUGCAACUCUUUUACGGUUAUAUUGCCUUGUAAACUCUUGAGCAAGAUGAAUGUUUUCCGUCAUACUUCUACCUUCCACAAAUGCAGCUUGUGAUUGAUCAAUAAUAUGUCCAAGAAUUGGCCUCAAUCUAGAAGCAAGGAUCUUUGUGAUAACUUUUUAGAAUAUAUUACAACAAGCAAUAUGUCUAUAAUCUCCUACACCAAUAGAGUUACUUCCCUUAGGAAUUGAAGCAAUAGCCGUGUGAUUUGUUUACUUGAGGAGUGAGCAAGAAUUGAAGAAUUCUUUAACCGCUCCCAUGAAAUCACUUUCAACAAUGCUCCAAGAUUUGUUGAAGAAACAUGAUGUAUAUCAAUUCGGACCCGGUGAUUUAUCAUCUCCAAUAGAAAACAAUGCAUCCUUAAUCUUUUGAUCUAAAAUAUCCUGAACUAGUGUCAUAGCAUGCUCAUCCGAUAACAUGGAGCCAUUCUUCAAGAUGUCAACAUCAAUAGCCUUUCCUGGACUAGCUUUUCCAAUAAAUCACAAUAAAAAUGAAGGAAUUCAUUGGCCACUUCUUGUAAUGAUGAAUUAUAAGUUCCAUCUCCUUUACGUCACAUUAGCAAUGAAGUUACGUUUUUUGUUCCUUUUGACCAUACUCACAUUUGGCAUUUUGCUAAUAAAAGCUCAUUUUCGCUUCACAAAGAUCCAUGGCUAUUGUCCUCAUUGAUGCCACCCGUUUGAUGUUCAAUAUCAAAAGGGUUCCCUUGCAACUCCAAUUGUACAAUUUUGAACACUGAAGUAGCCGUUUUAGCCCUUGAGGAGAUGUGUGAAAAAUGUUUCUCAUUUUCCUUAGCUCUCCUUUAAGACUAUGCAACUUUUUACAAAGAAUGAAUUGUUUUUUUUCCUCUAAUCAUAGAAAUUUUCAUGGUUAGAUCACAUAUUGAAGAACCUAAAAGGUUUCCUCUUGUUUUCCUCAUGUACAAAUAAUGAUACAAUGCACGAUGAGUGGUCGAAAAUGCAUCCCGAAGGGAGAAAAUCAACAAUUCAAUUAAAGUCAGCUUGUACCCAAAAAUCAUUCACCAUGGCUCUAUCAAGUUUACUCCACUUUGUGCCGUUUGUCUGAGUUUAGAAACAUCCAAUAGAUCUCAUAUCCGUAAUUCCAACAUUUAGGCAACAAUUUUCAAAGUCUUUAACCUCAUAUGGUGUAACAUCCGCCCCAUUACAUUUUUCAUUAAAGUUAAGCACAUUGUUGAAAUCACCUAUGAUUAACCAAGGCAAAGAGCAAUUGGAUCCAUAUUCAUGAUGUUGUUCCAUAACAUGACAAGCAUAGACAAAGCUAACAAGAAAAGUAAGUGAGCUUACCUUGCAAGUAGUGGAGCAAUGAGUAGCUUGUGAUGUAGUCUCCAAUACCCCCAAAUCAACUUUCAUGGAGUUCCACAAAACCAAAAUCCAACUAGCCCGACGCGUGUGAAAGUUGUUCGUUUGUGACAAUCCAUUAAAUUUAUUCCGUAUAAUCCAAUUUAAUUUUGGCUCUUCCAACUUCGUUUCCAAAAUCUUCAUAACAUCAACAUCAUGUUGCUUCAUGAAAGUUAGAACCCCAUUUUGUUUUAGGGGGAGGUUCAUUCUCCUAAUAGUCCACGUGGAAAUCUCCAUGAUGAUGAAGUAAGGAAAAUAUCCUUCUUCUUCUCUUUUAUGGCCACGACCCUCUUUUGCUCUUCAAGCUUACCUUUAAGUUUCUCAUUGUUAGUUGACUUAGAGGUCAAUCCAACAGUGUUUGAUGCAACGUCCACACCUCACUUUGCCGCAUCAUUCAUCUUAAUAUGGGUUGGAGUAUUACGCACAUUUUGCUGUCCUUAAACAAACUUUUUUCCUUGGUGACAACCUCAAUGAAUUGUCCUUCAUUCUGCUCGACAUGUUGCAUAUUCUUUGAGUUAACUUGUUGCUCAACAUUUUGGACAUCCACACCAGCAUGUAGUUGAGUAUUCACAGCCUUCUUUCCAUUCUGUUCAGCAGUGGACUGAAUCAAAAUUUCCCAGGCAAGCUGUCCAUUUUCCUAGGCCAAAUUCUGCUUAGUUUCAGGCUCAGCAAUCUAGACCGAAGUUCCACCAGCAUGCUGUCCAUUUUUCUGCGUCACAUUUUGCGUAGAAUUCUGCUUUCCAGUUAUUUUAUGAAGCUGCACAAAUCUGUCUUGUGUCCGAACGUCAUGCAAUUACUACCAAAUUUUGGCUUGUACUCAUAAAUCACUUGUUGAAAUCUAUCUUUGCCUUGGGUAUAGUCAUUUCCACGGAUUGAACAAAGUCUUUGGAUGCAUCAACCUCUCCUAAAGCCCGAGCAUAUGACAAUCUCUCUUUAUUUGACAUGAAUUUAUACGUAGAUAUUGGAUUUCCAAUCUUUGAAGCAAUUUUUGCCAACGCCCUAAGAUUCCAACAAUCCAAAGGAAGUCUCGAUAAUUUGACCCAUACGGGCAUAAUGUACACAUUAUCAUUAUCGAAUUUAAAACACCAUGACAUAGUCUUUAACAUUAACGGCAUACCAAAUACAAGGUAGGGGCCUCCAUGUAAGACCUUUGUCUAGAAGCCCCACUUUUGAAUUUGAAAAUCAACCAUCCACUCUCAUGAACAAAGAAUUGGUAUGGAACCUUCCAUGUAUAGCACAUUUGCAACAAUGCCUUCUUACCCUGGAAUCUCCUGGCAAAGUAUACGACAAGGCAAAACCCCUAUGAUUGCUCCGCAUCAUCCACAUCAUUUGCAUCCAAGGUAACUUUAUUAGGCUGGCCAUUCACCUUGUGUAAUUUUAGGCCUUCAUCAAUAUUCCUAUUAUCCUUAAAAAGAUUGACCCAAGAAGCAGUGGUAGCACUUUGGUUCAAUUUCUUACCUUCAAUUUCUUCCUUCCUAGCCUCAUGGGGUUCACCAACCGAGCUGUAUGAAUCUGUCAUCAGCCCCAAGUGUUUGGGAAACAAUUGGUGUAGUCAAAUUCCCCUACCGAAGUCAUCCCCCAAUGCACCGAUCGAUCCAUGUGCUACCUUGUUAAAUUCACUAUUGUUGGCCUGGGAAUCAUUAAUAAUCUGCCCAGCAGUAGAAUGUUUUGGACGGCCUGGAGCAUCAUUAAUCUUGAGUGGGGGCAUCCCACUAAGAUGGGCCAAGAUUUUUUUCCUACUCUUACCCAUAAAUUCAAAAGGCCCAAGUGGAUGGACGAUCCACUAAUAGAAACCAACAAAAUAAUUUAUAAUAAAGUUGGCAAAAUAUGAAUCUGAGGUUUUAUCCAAAAUGGAAAUUGAAAGUUUCAAGCUCUUCUAAACAACUGCCAAAGCUGAAAUCCAGCAGACCAAAAACACGUGAUCCACCAACUUCAAUUCAAAUUGUAGCCGUUGAAAUACAUCAUCACCGUUAGAUACACAAUAGAUACAAAAUCCUUACAACCAGCAACCAUGGAAAUGAAGCACCCACCACCCCAACAGGAUUUGAAGUGGCUGAAAACACCCAGAACUGACCAGCUGAACGGAUUAGUACACCACCAAUCUGCCAAAUCGAAAACCAAGCCGAAAUUGUGUAAUUUCGACCAGGUCUGAAAGCAAUCCUUAGGAAGAUGAAUCACCCCAAAUACUGGUGAAAUUCCAGCUGAACAGACAAGAACACGUUGAAACUAUAGAGAACACCAAAGUUGUUAAGGCUGAAAUGUCCAUAUUAUACAUUAAUCAGAAAUAGUACAUAAAAAAUAUACCAUUUACAUAAAUCCCCUAAGACCAUAGCAUCGAGUGAAGAUCCUUUUAGGCUCAGACCAAAGACCCCAUUUAUAAUAUCACAGAGACACCAAAUCUCAACCGCGAGCCCUCAUAGUCCCAAAGCUACAAAGUUAUUUCAACAGGACACAAAAUGGACAAACCAGUUCGACACAAAUCUCUCACACAGAGAAGAAUCACCCAAGGAAUGAAUAUCAUAGAGAUGAUUCUUCAGAAUCUCACAUAGAGAGGUCGAAGAAGAACAAAACCAGAAAACCCUUGUGAAGGUUCCAGAAACACGGCUCACAGAAGAGAGAAAAAUGAAAAUGACGACUUCUAACCCUAGGUCAAGAGAAAAGGGUAUAUUUAUAGUAGAAAUCAUUAGCCAUCAGAUUAAUGGGUCAAUCCAACAGUCCCAAAGCAACUACGAGAAUGGGCCAGUUAUUGGGCUCGGUUAAGCGGGUCGUCUAAGUAUCAAAGAGUGGAUCAAUCUGCUCUUUAUCUAUUGGGCUUGGAUUUUUAUCAUCAUUGCCUAUAUUUUGGACUGAUCAUGUUGGCAUCACAACCCAACAAAUUUCCACUUUGAUGCCAAUGGUCAUAUAAGAAGUCUAAUAAAAGUAAAACACAAUUUAUAUCUCUCCAAAGAAUGCAGCUUCCCAGUACUUUCAAUAAGCAUCAGAUUCAGCACCUGUACAGAACCAAAAAUAUCUAACCAGCAUCAAUGUUCAAAAUUUGUAAACAAGACUUAAACUUGUUUAACGGUAUUACCUUAGUCCCUACAUCAGCUGGAUUAAACUGAGUUGCAAUUUUCUCAAGUAAAAUAAGUUCUUUUGAAACAACAUCUCUAAUAAAAUGCAACUUAACAUCAAUAUGUUUGGUUCUUUCAUGAAAAACAGGAUUUUUACAUAGGUGAAUUGCACUUUGACUAUCUGAAUAUAAGACAACAGGGUUACUUAAUUCAUUUAUUUCAGAUAACAAGCCCUUAAGCCAUAAGGCUUCUUUUAUUGCUUCAGUUGCAGCAACAUACUCAGUUUCAGUAGUAGAUAAAGCAACAAUCGAUUGAAGUUGUGAUUUCCAACUAAUACAUGUAUUACACAAAGUAAACAUAUAAGCAGUGGUAAAUUUCCUAUUAUCUCUAUCUCCUACAAAAUCUGAAUCUACAAAACCCUUAAGUACAACACCUUCAUUACAGGCACUAAAAAUCAAACCAAGAUGUGAAGAUCCUUUCAAAUAUCUCAACAGCCAUUUUAGAGCAACCCAAUGGUCAAGUCGUGGAUUGGCCAUAAAUCUACUUAAUGUGCUAAUGGAAUGAGCUAUAUCAGGCCUAGUACAUACCAUAGUGUACAUGACAGAUCCUACAGCAUUAGCAUAGGGUACAUUUUCCAUCUGUCUAAUGUCAGAUUCAUCUACAGGACAUUGCUCUUUACUAAGUUUAAAAUGGCUGGCCAAUGAUAAUGAAACAGAUUUAGAGUUAUGCAUGGCAAACUUAGUCAACAUUUUUUUCUAUAUAUGCAGUUUGCUUCAAGCGCAGUAACCUAUAGUGCCUUUUCCUAGUGAUUUCCAUUCCUAAAAUUCUCUUUGCAUGUCCUAGGUCUUUCAUUUCAAAUUUAGCACUUAAAGACCGUUUUAUCUGAUUAAUAACAUGCAUAUUCUGAUCAAUCAGCAACAUAUCAUCCACAUAGAGAAGUACAAAAGCAACAAUAGCAUUUUCAUCAUUUCUUUUAAAAUAAAGACAAUGAUCAUACUCACUUCUCAUGAAACCAAUAGUAGAUACAAAAUUAUCAAUCCUUUUAUACCAUUGUCGUGGAGAUUGCUUUAAACCAUAUAAUGAUCUUUUUAACAAACACACAUGAUCAGAUUUAAUUUCAUCAAUAAAACCAGGUGGCUGUCUCAUAUAAAUCACUUCAUCAAGGUCACCAUGCAAGAAGAUAGUUUUCACGUCCAUUUGUUCAAGUUCAAGAUCAUAAUGAGUAACAAAAGCAAGCAUAACUCUAAUUAUUGUGUACUUUAUCACAGGAGAAAAUAUCUCAUUAUAAUCUAUGCCCUCCUUUUGCGUAAAUCCUUUCGCUACAAGUCUAGCCUUAAAUCUUAUGAGCAUCUUUUCAGUAUUUCCCUCCUUAACACUAAAGAUCUACUUGCAAUCAACAAGGGCCUUACCUGCAGGUUUAGGAAACUAAAGUCCAAGUCUCAUUUUUCAUUAAGGAGUCCAUCUCAUCUAUCAUAGCAGCAUGCCAAUUCUCAGAUUGCUUGCAGCUCAUAGCCUCUUCAUAAGAUUUAGGUUCUUUAAACACUAAGUCUUGAUAGGACAAAACAGCAAGUGAAAGGUAAUCUCCAUACCUAACUGGCUCUCUUACUUCUCUCCUAGACCUAUCUUUAGCUAAUUGGUAAUCCCCCAAUUCAUCAAGCUGACUUUCCAGAUUUUCUUGAACACUUUCUUCUUCAUUUUCUUGAGGAACAGAAGCUGUUCCAGUUUCUUCCUCCACCUGUUCAUCACCAACAGGUUUAGUAGGUGAGCCAAGCUCCACCUGCAGCUUGGUAUUAUCACCCUUUUCAUCACCAGAUAGCCCAUUUGGCUCCUUAUUUUCUAAACAAGGCAUUUUUGACUCAUCAAAGGUCACAUCUCUGCUGGUGAUGAUUUUAAAACCUUUUACCUUUUUACUCCAAAGCCUAUAACCUUUAAUCCCAUCAGGAUAUCCCAAGAAAACACAUUUCUGGGCCCUAGGUUCAAGUUUCCCUAUUCUCUGAUGGGAAUAGGUAGCACAACCAAAAAUUCUUAAAUGGGAAUAAUCAGGGACAUGUCCUGUCCAUAAUUCUUCAGGUGUUUUAUCACCUAGAGCACUUGAGGGGGUUCUAUUAACAAUGUAUGAAGCUGUCAUUACAGUUUCACCCUAUAAAACCUUAGGAACUCCUGAGCCUAUCAACAUGCACCUAACCUUAUCUAACAAGGUUCUAUUCAUUCUCUCAGCCACUCCAUUCUGCUGAGGUGUAUAAGGUACUAUUUUAUGCCUUUUAAUCCCAGUACUUUUGCACAAUUGAUCAAAUUCAGCAUUGCAAAACUCAAAACCAUUGUCUGUCCUAAGGACCUUAAUUUUCUUCCCAAUUUCAUUUUCCACCAGAAUCUUCCAAGUUCUAAAUUUCUCAAAGGUUCCAGAUUUAUGUUUCAACAAAUAAACCCAAACCUUCCUAGAAUAGUCAUCAAUCAAGAACAAGAAAUAACUAUUUCCUCCUUGAGUGAUGGUGGAUGAAGGUCCCCACAAAUCAGCAUGUAUAUACUCAAGGGUAAAGGUGGUUCUAUGUUUUCCUGUGUUAAAAUGCAGCCUAUGCUGCUUACCUAAGGUGCAGUUUUCACAAAAGGACACCUUAGAUAUAGAGUCUUUUCCAAACACACCUCUCUUAUAAAGGAUAUGUAGGCCUUUUCACCUACAUGGGCCAAUCUCUUGUGUCAUUUUAAAGUGGCAACACUUGAAGACUCACCUAUGUGAUCAUACACUGUACUAGCUUUGAUCACAUAAAUCUCAUUUCUUUUAACACUUUUAAAAAUAACAAGUGAUCCUUUUAUUACCUUCAAAAAAUCAUCUCCUAUUUUUCCUUGUAGCCCCAUAUCAUCCAAAUUUCCCAUGGAAAUCAGGUUCCUAUUUAAUUCAGGGACAUAUCUCACCCUUUCAAGGGUGUAAAUGUAUCAAUUAUCAAAUUUCAAAGUGACAUUCCCAACUCCCUCAACUCUCCAGGCUAUGUUAUUGCCCAUAACUACUUCUCCUUCAUCAAUUUUCUUAAAAUUUUCUAAAUAGGCCUUUUUAGAGGUCAUAUGGAAGGUACAACCAGAAUCCAAGAUCCAUUCUUGGUUUUGUUUCUCAUCAACCAUAUUUGCAGACUUAGGUAAAUUUUCAGUCACAGCAUAUACAUCAACUGUGGUAGAACCAUCAGAUUCUACCACAUUACCUUCAUCAACACCCUUGCCUUUUUGUUCAUUUUUCUUCUUAUAACAGUCUUUGAUAAAAUGAUCAGAUUUCCCACACCCAUAACACAUUUUAGUCCUAGUCUUUGACUUAGACCUGCCUCUACUCUUAAACUUUCUCCUAUUAUUGUUUCCUUGAUUAUUAUAACUUUCCUGAGUACCGCUAGACCUACUUAAAGUCCUCCCUCUAGCAAACAAGUUUUCAUGGGCAUUAUUACCUCUCUCAGACUUAAGUUCAAGUUCCUUACUUCUUAAUGAAUCUAUAACAAUGUCAGGUGUUAGAGUAUCUCUACCAUACUUAAUGGCGGCUUUAACCUCUUUGUAUGCAUCAGGUAUAGCAUUAAGUAGCACUACAGUUUUAUACUCAUCAGAAAUUUUCUCACAUGUAUUAAUAAUGUCUUGAACUAACUUAAUAAAAGUUUCUAAGCUAUCUUCUAAGUCUCUAGUAGGGUCUAUCCUAAAGCUGAAAAUUUUCUCUAACAGAAACAACUUAUUAGGUAGAGACUUAGGCAGGUAAAGUUUCUCUAAUUCAUCCCAUAAGGCCUUAGCAGUAUCAUGUUUUCCUACCUUUCUUAAAAUUUGAUCAGAUAAAUGUAAAAUAAUGGAGGUAUAAGCAAGUUCAUCAGAUUCUUCCUUUUGAUCAUCAUGGUAUCAGAAAAUUCAUCUGUUAGUGGUUUGGAAACUUUUUGCUGAAAUAAAACACCUCGCAAUUUUUGUUGCCAAAUGGGAAAAUCCCCUUUUCCAUCAAAAACACGAAGUUUAAAAGAUUUUGUCAUGUUUUAUUGUUUGAAAAACUAAAACAUAGUGUUUCCCAAAAAUUAAAACAAGACAGAUAAUCAACUUUUGAAAAAAUCUGUUGAAUUUGACCUUCACAAAAAUGAUGCUUUAGAUAACAGGAAAAAUAAAAUGUAAUCAGAUUACUAAGUCACAAUUAUUCCUUAUUACAAAAAAUUUCAGCAAUCUCAAGAUCAAUUAUCAUAUCAAUAUAAACACUACAAGAACCAAGGAAAUACAACAAUGUAGGCAGAAAGAAUAUCUCAGUAUUAAUAAAUAAUAUCUACAGAACCUAGGGUUGACCAAAUUCACCAGAAUUCCGUGAGAAUCAAGUUCUCAGGUCAAGGCUCAAUUUGAAUCACCCAAACUUAAACGAUCAUAGACAGAGAUCACAGAUAAAAAAUAACGAGAUAUCACCAAUUAAUGUAACAAAUUACAGUAUACAACAAUUAACCAUAUCAAGAUAGAGGCAUAAUCAAAAUAUACACAGUGUUACAUGUGUGUGUGAUCAUGUAGGGAUUAAGAAGUGCAAACCGAAGGGUGAUUAAACGAUUAACCACCAGCACUAAUCAGGAAUUAGUUAUCAUAGCAAGGGGUGAGUGUUCUCUAGAUCACCAAAUCACGAACCGAGACCUUACAGCUUCGAAGUUAGGGUUCCAGUUUAAGAUCGAAACCACAGGACCUCUUAUUUUAGGGUCCUUUUACAGAUCGAGGCGAGAAGUCAUAAAACUUUCUCGUUUUCCACAGUCCGAUUUUGAAUCAGCUCAACAAACCACCAUAUCGACACAAAUCUAGACCUAGGGUUUCGCGAUCUGAAGUCAAAUGCCUGAAAAUUAAUUUUCCAGUGUUCGAGCUCCGACCGAAGACUCAAGAACGAAUUAUUGAGGCUCUGAUACCACUAUUAUACACUAAUCAGAAAUAGUAUAUCAAAAAUAUACCAUUUACAUAAAUCUCCUAAGACUACAACACCGAGUGAAGAUCCUUUUAGGCUCAGACCAAAGACCCCAUUUAUAACAUCACAGAGACACCAAAUCUCAAUCGCGAGCCCUCACAGUCCCAAAGCUACAAAGUUACUUCAACAGGACACAAAAUGGACUAACCACUUCGACACAAAUCUCUCACACAGAGAAGAAUCACCCAAGGAAUGAAUAUCACGGAGAUGAUACUUCAGAAUCUCACACAGAGAGGUCGAAGAAGAACAAAACCAGAGAACCCUUGUGAAGGUUCUAGAAACACGGCUCACAGAAGAGAGAAAAAUGAAAAUGACGACUUCUAACCCUAGGUCAAGAGAAAAGGGUAUAUUUAUAGUAGAAAGCAUCAGCCAUCAGAUUAAUGGGUCGAUCCAACGGUCCCAAAGCAACUAUGAGAAUGAGUCGGUUAUUGGGCUCGGUUAAGCAGGUCGUCUAAGUAUCAAAGAGUGGGCCUGGAUUUUUAUCAUCGUUGCCUAUAUUUGGGACUGAUCAUGUUGGCAUCACAGCCCAACAGUCCAAAGCAGCACCAAACGAACCAAACGGACAGUGAACUGACAAUGGCCGACAUUAUCACCUGCAAAUCUAUAAUAUCUAACAAUAUACCACAAUAUCUUGUAGUAAACUUCAAGAAACUAGAAUUAAAAACUUGAGAACACCAAAAAAAAAAAAUGUGAUGUAUCAUUAGAUGUUUGAUAAGAGACUCACAGUGACAAGAGAGUCUAGUCAACAUAAAAAAUGUUAAAACUUUUCACAGCUGCCAACUAGUCACUAAACAAAAUUCAGAAACGCUUCUUGUACAUUAGUUUGUACAGCUUUCUACACAGCAUUUCAAAAAUGCUGACAUGGCAGUUGAAAAGUUGUACCAUUUAAAAAACCAAAAAAGGCUGCUUUAAAAUCAGGUUAGUAGCUGCAAAAAUGCUUCUCUAAAAAACCGGGCCAAAUAAACUUACAACCACUGUAGCUUGCUGUCUUUAAUGGAAGAAAACUGAGCCGGCCCCAAAUUAUUUCAUUUGAAAAACCCUCCACACUCUAGAAGCAAAAUACAAGUUGGCGGUAAGAGUUGGCGACUUCCUCGACUUCUUACACCUCUAGAUUUCUGACCAACACACAUAUUUUCAACCAUUGUUAACCUCAAAACUGAGAUCUCCAAUUUUUCCAAAGGUGGGAACGCGACUGCCCGUUGAACAUCAAAUGGAAAUCAAAGUGUUCAGUGCCAAUCGGAGGUUAUUCACGUACUUAAAAAGUGAUUGUGGUAUCUUAGGUCCGUUUUACCCCAGUAGAGGAUGACCGCCACAUCCAACGGAAAUCGGAUUGUUGGCGCCAACCGGUGGGAACUUCUGUAGGGCUAAAGAAGUAGAAGCUGUGUCACAAGAAUGUCGAACAAAUGUGAUUUCCAUAAUAUUUUCAAUUUGUCAGUGGAUGAGCUACUAUCUAUAUUUGGUGGGUUUAUGAUAUGCACUGGAAAUGUGCAAUUUUCUGAAGAAUUGAAAAAAUGUAUCUGAAUGCAUGAUAUUGCUUGGACAUGUUUUGUUUUUGAGAAAAUAGACAUUAUAUUUAUUUUGGUGAAGUAGAAAAAUAUUAUGCAAAAAUUACUUCUUUUGCUAGUUAUUGAGAUUGGAUAUAUUCACAAAUGAAUUUCAUUAUGUAAAUUAAGCUCCACUAGCAGUUUGUUGAAAUGAAGAAUCUUAUGAGAAUGGUUUAAAGAAGUGACAAGUACAAAGAUCACCUGGGAUUUUCCAUAUUAAAGUAUUUUUCUUCUAAUUAUGCAUUUGAAUAUUUUCUUGAGCUGAUGCAAAAAUUGGGAAAUUCCGUUUUAGUGCUGACUAUGUUCUCCUUCACUAUGUUGUAGGAAAUGAACAAGUGGACAUAUCGGAUGAUGAAGUUUUUGUAGAAUCCAAUAAUGAGAACAAUAUGAACAAUGUGAUGACAUUGGAAGAUGACAUGGUUGAAGGAAAUGAUGUGAUUGUGCCUAGGGUAGCUAUGAAAUUCAAAGAUGAAGAAGAGUUGUUUCAAUUUUACAAGAGGUACGAAUAUAAGGUAGGCUUUCCGGUUAGGCGGAUGAAUUCUAGAAAGGGGGAGGAUGGAGUAGUGAGAUACAUUACAUUGACAUGUUGUCGUGAAGGACGACGAAGCAGUAAUACAAGCUCUUCUUUGAAACCACAACCAACAAUUCAGACAGGUUGCAAAACAAGGCUCACUGUUUUCGCAGAUAUUCUUGGAGUAUGGAAAUUUUGUACUGUCCAUCUCGAACACAAUCAUAAGACAAGUCCUUCGAAGUCCAGAUUGUAUCGAAGCAAUCGAGAAUUGAGUGCAAAUGUUAAACGCAAGCUUGAAGUGAACAAUAUGGCUGAAAUUCCUUUGCACAAAAGUUACAAUUCUGCAAUUGUUGAAGCGAGUGGGUACGAGAAUAUGACUUGUGUGGAAAGGGAAUGCUGAAAUUAUGUUGAGCAAGUGAGGCAAUUGAGAUUUGGUCAGGGAGAUGUCGCGGCAAUGUAGUCCUACUUUUCACAAAUGCAAGCACGAUGUAAGGGAUUUUUCUUUUGUAUGGACUUGGAUGACGAGUCCCGACUUAAGAAUCUUUUUUGGGUAGAUAAUAGGUCUAGGGAAGCAUAUAAGGAGUUUGGGGACUUAGUAACAUUUGAUACCACUUAUCUCACUAAUAAAUACGAGAUGUCGUUCGCCCCUUUUGUCGGGGUAAAUCAUCACGUACUAUCAACACUUCUCGGUUGUGGGUUGUUAUCAAAUGAAGAUACAAAUACAUUUGUUUGGUUGUUUCGAACAUGGAUGCAGUGCAUGCAUGGUCAAGCUCCGAAUGGAAUUAUAACUGAUCAAGACAGGGCUAUGCAAAGCACAAUUCAGAUAGUCUUUCCAAACACGAGGCAUUGAUGGUGUCUUUGGCACAUAUUGAAGAAUUUGCCUGAAAAGUUAUACCAUAUUGAUAAGAGCUCAAUUUUUUCGUGUAUACAUGAAUUACUAUAUGAUACACAGCUGUCAAAGAAUUUGAAGAAGGUCGGGAAAUUAUGCUCGAUACAUUUGACUUACAUGAUAAUGAAUGGUUGUUGGGGUUGUAUGAGAAUAGGGGUCAUUGGGUGUCGUGUUAUUUAAAAAUCACUUUUUGGGCAGGGAUGUCGAUAACUCAACGUAGUGAAAACAUGAAUGCAUUCUUCGAUGGGUAUAUGCACUCUAAGACAUCGUUGAAGCAGUUCGUUGAAUAGUACGAACGAGCAUUAAGAAGUAAAGUUGAGAUGGAAUUCCAAGAAGAUUUUAAGUCUUACUCACCGAUGGUGCCCUGUGCAACGAAAUAUGAAAUGGAAAGGCAAUUUCAAGCAGUUUACACUAUUUCAAAGUUCCAAGAAUUUCAGGAUGAAAUAACUGGGAAGGUCUACUGUGAUGUGAUAUCUGCAUCAGAUCAUUGUUCAAAGAAUACCUAUGAGGUUGAGGAGGAUGUCAUUCAUGAAGAUAGGGUUAGGAAGAAAAAGUUUUCUAUCGCAUUUCAUGCAGAGGAUUGCAACAUUAUUUGCAGCAGUCACCUGUUAGAAUUUCGUGGCAUUUUGUGCAGACAUGCGAUAUAAGUAUUGAUGCGUAAUAGGGUCACAUCUUUACCGGAUAGGUACAUAUUGAGGAGAUGGAGAAGGGAUGUUAGUAGAGCCCACACGAGGAUCGCUGUGCACUACGAUGGCUUGGUUAGCACCCCUAGCCAGUUGAGGUGCGAUAGAAUGUGUGAAGUAUUUCAUUUGUUAGCAAAUGUUGCCACAGAUGAUAAAGAGCGAACUCGUGUGACAAUCGAUUGGGUUCAAUUGCUAUCUAAAGACAUAAUGUCCUGAAAGUCGAGUUGUGGCAGUAAUAGCAUUUCCCAGCCUAGUUUACAUUUAGGCUCCCAAUCUAGAGCAUCGAAGACACAUGCAUUGGGAGCGUAAAAGAUCCUCUACGCUCAAAAAGGAAGGGUGCAUCAAAGAAACUGGUCACAAAAACCCGUUGGAGUGCAACUCGAAGAAAUAUAAGGUAAUUUCUAUUGCAAUAUAUGUUUUUAUCUAUGUUCUACCUUCGUCCAUUGCAACAUUGAAUACGAAUUUUUGUGUGAACAUGUAGACAUUAAGCUCUUCAAUCAAAGGACAGAGACCAAUAGUGUUGAAAAGUAGGCUUGGACAAAAUGCACCAAGUUGCUGGACCAACCAACAAGCACAAUACUCGAUGCAACCAACAAUAUUUGUAAGUAUUUAUUAUUGCUCAUCGUACAUUAUGCAUUUUUCUAAAUCAAUUUUCAUAACAUGUAGAGUGGUGACGAAAGUACCGCACCACAACAACUGUCGUGUUCAACUUUCAUCCCCAUGUCAAUGUCAGAUGUUUUUGUCAAUUACCAAGGUAUGUGUAUGCUUUCAACUUCAUAUGUAUUACAUUUUGAUGUUAACAUCUUUCCAUGACAUAAUGUCUAUGCUAGGUAAUGCAAUGCCAUUUCACUAUCCUAAUCUUCGAUACAACGAUGGAUCACGAUGCGGAGUCAUUGAGGACACACUAAGACCCUCUACAAUGGGCGUUUUUCCGAUUGGAUUUCAGGAUGUAAGUUGCUUUUGCCUUUUUAUUUUUUUCACCCAAGUGCUGAAUUUAAUUUUUCGGCUCCAAUUUACUUGCCGAAUAUCAUUUUGAACAUAGCAAUUCCAGCCACUGCUUCCUCCAAGUGCCAUAGAGGGUUGGAUGUCCAGUGUCACCAAUUCCACACCUCAGGUUGCUGUUGCUAGAGGUCCCUCGAGUGCUGUUCAAAUACUUGGCACAAAUGGACUACGAAGCUGCGGAAAGUUGUGUUGGAAUAGCCUCACAAAAUGCUUCUUCAUCAAGGAUUGCAGAAUUUCAUCCUUCCUUCCAAUGAAGACGUGUUCAUCAAAGAUUAAAUGUUUUCUAUCAGCCAUAUUCUCCACAAAUGAUGUUUCAUAUUUUUAGCAGGCAUGUAAGGAUGGUUUGAGCAAGUGCCCAAAAGAUUUGUGUAGUUACUGUGAGAAUGUAAUCUGUACUUGUAAUUUGUAAUUUGAUGUUUUUGUGAAAGCUCAUUACAGUGUAAUUUGUAAUUUGAUGUUUUUGUAAUUUGUAAUUUGAUGGUUUGAACAAGGGCCGAAGAGAAUGUAAUUGAAAUACGAUUUUCCGUAAUUUAAUGAUUAAAGUGUUCGUGUAUGUUGAAAUUAUUAAUUUGAUUUUGGAGCCAAGAAUAGGAUUUAUCAACUAUAUAUUCAAUCGUGACAAUAGGGCAAUUGCAAGCAGGUCUCCAUGCUCUUAUCACACAAAUGCAGGUACAUAAACAUACACAAUUGUCAUGUAUUCAUUUAUUGCCCGUUUGGUAUAAUAACAGUAAAAUUGUAGAGUUAAAGUGAAAGGUUGGAAUUUGUUAGCAUCAUACUAAUUUAAGAACUUCAGUGUAAUAAUUUAAUUCCAGAAACUCCUCCCUAAACAACAUAUGAAGUCGUACAACACACUUUAUUUAAAUUUCAGAAUCAACAUCCUAAUACAUCUUCAAUUUCCUGAGACUCCUUUCCCUUUGCGCAUAUUUAUGUUUAGAGAAAUCUCCAAGCCUUUUUCCUCACUUAGCGUAGCAAGUGUUUUCAACAUGUGCGACAAAUCGUCGACGUGCUCAGCUCCAUUUGUAAUGCCACUUGAUUCACCAUCAUCAUGUAAUGGGCAUUCUUUGUCAAGGGAUUUGUUACACCACUUGAAGUACCUACAGUCCUAGGUACAACAAUGAAAAAACAGCCAUUUAUGCUCGUUGUUUUUUUCGACCUCCAACCACUUGAUGAAGCCCUCGCCAUAAUUUGGACAUCUUCUCUUCUUUGGGCAUUCCGGAAGCAUAUGUCCCGUCUCCCUACAACUAAGACAUAUUCCCUUGUUCUUGCCUAGCAUCGAACUAAUCUAAUUCAACCAAAUUCAACAAUCAAAUUAGAAUAAAAAAUACGAAUAUAAUCCAAGGCAAGCAUGGGAUACGACAUCUAAAAGGAAUAAAGUGAUUUAUGUGUGUUCUAGAUUUUACAACAGAUUCAAUCAAUACAACUUGGAAGCUCAAUGAAGUACACACGGGUUCCAGUUUCUCUAAUGGUUCAUCUAUUUUUAUCCUAUCGGAGACGAGAAAAUCGUUCUAUGGGUGAGUUAACCUCCACUCUCACAACAUGAAUCAUUUUUGAAAUAACAGGAAAUCUUUCAUCAUUCAACUUUCCUUCAACCAAAGCAAUUUUUCAUCAUUCAGCUUUCCUUUAACCUCUACUCUCACAACAUGAAUCAACAGGAACUUCAAUAACAAAUAAUUGAAAUAAUAAACAUGAACAUCACAGUUAAUGCACGAGAUAAAAACGGGGGAUAAUAUCAGAAAAGGGGUCCAUAAGACAAGUCUAAAAUUGCACUAAGAGGUCCAACAAAAACACCUACAGAAUUAGUACCAUCUAUAAUUGCACUAAUAGUAGGUAAUGCACGAGAAUUUCCUUUUAUCAAGGUCUUCGUCGAUGCCUUGUUUUUGCUUAUCGUACGCGGUCACUUGGGUUUUCAAUGCCUUUUUCUUCGUUGUUCUUCACGAAUGGGAAACUGGGAUUUCACUUCGACUGGAGGUGGCGAUCGGUUGGAGGUUGGAGGAAAUAACUUGGAUUCUUGACGCUCGGAGGUGGCGAUUACUUGGGUUGUCGUUCGAAAGUUAGGGCGUCAAUUUAGGGCUUGGGUUCUCCACGUCAUUCUCUGUAAAUGGGAAAGGGGGAUUUCACUUAGGAGAAAGAAGGGGUUAGAUUGGGUCAGUGGCUACAAAAAUCGGAGAUUUUCCUUUUCUAUUCUGUAUUAUUUCCCCCCCUCAAUUUUCCAGCUCAGCAACGUAAGGUAAGAUGUACAGCUAUACGUGUAGCGGGACUGAACAAAAUUUUUAGUAAGUUAGGUCCUUAUCGAUCUAUGAAUUUAGCUACAUUUAGUUGAUCGUGUGAAAGAAUGGUGUUGUGCAGUGUCCUCUUUUUAUUUUAUUUUUAUAUCUCAUUUUUUAAUAAAUCUGUUGGUCGAUCAUUUAAAAAAAUUAUCAAAAAUAAAUUUUGCAAAAAAUUAAAGAAAAUCUAACACAAGAAUUUUUCACCCACCAGCAAGUCCAAAUGUUCAAGUCCUCUAAAUACUACUCCCUCAUUGAGCAUCCACAAAAUAGAUUAUGCUCUAAAUCUUUGAAGUCAAGCAAAGAUUUAGUCCAGUACAAAUGUUCGAAAAAAUCCACAAGUUUAUUCAAGUUUAUCUUAACUCGCAAUUUACAAGUUCAUCACAGUGAACCACUCACUCAAUCUAUCAAUAUACUCUUAGUACAUCAUAAAUCACUAAAGAGUCUACAGAGAGGAGCAUGAAUCGAAGAGAAAAUCCUAAAAGACGACUGAGAAUGAAACCACACACACACACACACACACAUUACUAUGGGAAAAAGGAAAAUUCUAUUUGUACAUAAUUAUUGCACAUAAUGGUGUCCAUAAUGUGAUGUGCCAAUCAUCUGAUUGUUGAUGUGCAAGUGCGAGAUUUGAAUUAAAGGUUGGACUCAGUACCACGUGUAAUUAUGGAUACUAUUAUGUAGACAGUUAUGUACAUGUAGCACUUCCCAUGGGAAAAUUGGUUAAGGCCCUAAUUAAAUGGAUCACAAAAACAAAGAUCCAAUGCCUAUGAGCACACCACGUGUAAGGUCACAUUACCUUUUAUUUUUUUGUAAGGUCAGAAUUGUAGCAGUAAGGAGAAGCUUGAGUUAAUUAUGUGAGACUUUUUUUUUAUUCAUGGCCUUAAUGUAUGUUAGGUUUACAUAAAAAGUAGAUGAGAUAUGUGACCAACAGAUUCUAACACCACUUCCAUUCACGCAUAUGUUACUUGAACAUUUGGACAAAGCAUUGGUGCACGUGGUGAUAGCUUUAGCAAUGAAGGAAAAGGCUAUGGCACUCUAUUACUCAAGUUAGUAAAAGAUUGAUGAUGUUGGGUGUGGGAGAGGCACAAUAAAUGUGACUAAUAGGAUUCGGGUUGAAGAGAGAAUAUUAUAUUGUUUGCGAUAUGUGGAUGCUAUGCAAAGUUGCAUUACCUUUGCAAGGCACUAAGUAUGAGCGAUUAUAAUUGAAGGAAAGAGGCAAUUUUCAUUGAAUCCAUGGGUUAAGCUCGAUAUGUGUUAUCCUAGCUGUUAUAGGCCUAAGACCAUUUUUAAUGGGAUGAAAAUUACAGUGACAGAGAUGAGGGCACAUCCCAACUAGCAAAAAUGAGGGUGCUUCAAGGCUGGCAGAUCAGAGGUCGUGAGUUCGAUUCUUGGAAGGUUCUUGGAAGGCAGAUAUACUCCUGGAAUGCAGGAUUUAUCCUGGAAGGCAGGAGCUCUACUGAAAGGCAAGGAGCAAAGAUGAGAAACGACUUGCUUGACACUUUGACAGAUCAGUUGGAGGGCUCUUGAGCACUGGUCAAUUUGGGGCACAACCUGCGAUUUAACCUGUCUGCAACUUGAGGGGCUAAGGUGUAGACUCCAAAAUUUAAUCACUGUAAGGUGGAUACCUGGAUAUCAAAAAAAAAAUUGCAUUGACAGAGAGACGUAAUCUCUAGUGUAAAUUUCCUUUUUUUUUACUAAAGAUUAAGGGCUGUUUGUUUUGUGUGUUAAAAAUAAAAAAAAUAAAAAAUAGCCAUCCUCUGUGAUAGGCCUACAAUUAGAAAAGUAUGCAAGAAAGUUCACUUGUCGUAUACUAUAAGCGCUGCAAAAUUCGUUAGCAGAUCGUACGAAAAAUUCUAUCGGGGCAACGUUUGCAAAAGACUCUUUAUCAGGCAUAGAUUGGUCACUUCGACAAUAUCUUGUAGUAAGAUGUAGCACCACGUCUCGAAAGUACCGCUAGAAGUGUCGUUUGCUUCGGAUGAGACACCUCAAUUUCCUCGUUCACCUGUCAAACUGCUUCAAAUAUAGCAAAUGAGGGACACGAUGUGAAGUGUGAGCCUUACAUGACUUUUUAUUUUUAUUUGAAAAAGAGUUGAACCCCAAUCUUGUGAACCCCCACCGCCCCGCCGUUAGAGCUUUGUGAGUGAGGAAAUCGCGAGAUGUACCCCAGUAGGUCAGGAAAUAAGAGCUGCUUGUACAUUGCACCUACAAGGUAUCCAAUUUCAUGUCUCACAAAUCGAACUUCCAUACUGCGGUUGCCAGCAAGUCAUAAGAUAAUCUCUUGUAGAAUGAGGUGUAACAAUUUUUAAAUAAAAUAAUCUGAAGAUUUUGAAUUGUUGGGCAAUAGAUCUCAACUCCACACCUAAGAUGUUAGUGAUAUCAUAUAUUAUAAAAUCAUAUUGGUACAUUUAAAUAUCUUAACAAAAAGUUACAAGACAAAAAUAAUGGCUGAGCUUUCAAACUUUUUAAUUAGUUGGGAUUUAGCUCUCCAACUUCAAAAAAUGAGGUUUUCGAUUAUACCUAUUUAAAUUUGUGAAUUUGAAUCUCUCCGUGACAGAAAACGUCAAUAUGAACAUUAACACAGCAUGUAGAUGUCACGUUAAAUAUGCAGCUGCACCACAUUAAAUCUUCAACGUUUUAGCAUUAUAACUUUAAGUUGUGCCCGAUUUUGAUGUCCACAAUGAUGGGUUUUCUUUGAACGGACUCAAUCAAUCACAACAAAUUCACACUUGUGCACAGUGAGACUGUUUCUAAGAGCCAGCAAGGAGCCCCAUUUUGUCUCUUUAGCGGUGUAGUGUCCCACCAGAAAAUUUUCAGUUAAUAAGCAAUCUUAAUUCAAGAUUGCCAUUGGAGACACACGUCCUUCGCUUAUUUUUCCAAGCAAAAGUCUGCAAACACUUGACACUGUCGGCUCCAUUAUGUUGCUAACACUUGUAAUGUUCUAAUUAUACGAGUUAUCACUCAACUUGCCGACACCCUUUCACUCUACUACACUAAGAAACAUGGAAGGGUUAUUCUCCUUUGCCAGGGCCACAUGGGCCCUGGUAAUGCCAGAGGGAAAACUGUGAUAGGUGGGGGUAGAUAACGUAGCAUGGUCCAACAAAGAAUACAUCGACACGUAAGAGUUAUGUUGUUUUAUCAAAUGAAUUUAAUACUUUAGUUGACAGAGUAAGUGUGUGGCAAAAAAUAAUUGGAUUAUGGUAUUGACCGUUUUUAAAUAGUCGAAUAACAUUCUAUCAUUCAGGGUAUUCAAGAAUCUGACAAAACACGAAAUGUUUGAGAUUAUAAUGCGGAUAUAUUGAGAACAUGUCAGUUAAAUUUUAUAAAAUUGCGUACUUCUUAAUCUUAUGUUUUGAUCUUUAUUGGUGAAGUUUAUAAAAUCACAGAGUAGUUAUUUGUUAGGUUAAAAUAACUAUAUUACUAUACUAAACGAAGAAUUAUGCAUAUAAUAGGUUUAUAACAUGUUAGGCGUUAAGUCUCUGUUUGAUAAAUAUUGAUAAAAUGUGUAGUUAAAAAGUUAUGAAUCCCUUGAAAUAUGUAAUUUAAAUUAAUCGUUGAUUUUGAUUUAAAUUAAAAUCUGAAUUUUAAUUUCAUCAGACUGGGAAUAAAUUUGUAGGGUUAACUUUAUUUUAAUUCCCUUGAAAAGUUGAGGACAUGCUCCUUAUGUGGUAAAUAGUUUCCCAAGGGUAAAGGUCUUUGUACAAUAAUUUAUUACACUAUUAUUGACCUUUGUUGUAUUGUCAAUCAGGCUGAUUUUUUUCUUAAAUUGUCCAAUUGAAUAAUGUGUAAAGUUUAAAUCAUAGUGCAUAUUAUAAUAGUUUCCAUAUAAAAUGUUAGGUACAAUGUUUUGGCCAGAAAUUGUGAUUCAUUGCAAAGUCAAAAUCAGGGAAAUAAAUUGAACGUGAAUAUAUUUGGGGCCAAUUGAAUAAUGUCAUGUGGUAAAGCAGAAUUGAUUUACAAAAAAACAUUUGUUAGUUCGAAGACGUGUCUUAAGAGUGUCCAAGAAGUGUGCGGACACCACACAUAUCUGACACAUUUCAUAGUAAAGAGAGUCAUUGCAUGAUCCAUGGCUCUUAUAUAAACGUGGUAGCGGGACAAUCAAAUUGCUAACAAUCUGCUAUAGUUUCCUUUUCCGCUUGUUAUUUGAUUGUACAGUUGAAAUGGCAGAAUAUGGAGAGCAAUGCGUUGAUCAAACACGCCGGACUGACGAGUAUGGAAACCCCGUUCGCCAGGCCGCCGGAGGUAUCACAGGAGAAUAUGGAGCCACUGGAGGUAACGUCGGAGAAUUUGGCACCACAGGGGAAUAUGGAAAUAAAGGCGGCGGGAUUGGUGCUGGCACCACUGACGGCGCUAGCCUAACUGGUGAAUAUCAGGGGCAGCUCCGCCGUUCUGGGUCGGGCAGCUCCGUAAGCUCCACUUGCCUUUUGUUGAAUAUUAUUAAACUAUUAUGGGAUGAAUCUUACUGAAUAAAUAUAAAAUAAUUAUACAACUCUGAGGGAUUAAGUUAAUUCUAGGAGCACAUUUUUAAGAUGAAAUCUUCAAAUUUUAAUAUUAAUCGUCUCGUUUAGAAGUAUGUAUCAUUAAAGAUUAGAGUUUUCAUUUCUUUAGAUUUUGUCUUUAACAUGUCCCUCAAGUGCCUGAUAAAUUUGAUCUUAUUAAUGUCGUAGUGUCCAUAUUUAUUUUAUUGGGGGGUUUCCCGUGGUUAAAUAUUGAAAUGUAGCCCUCUCAUAAACGUGGGUCCCACGACUAUUUCCUCCUAUAUUUGAGAGGCUGUCAACCAUACUGUCAAAUAUGUUAUACGUGUAGCACUUUUUUGUCUUUUAAAAGUUGAAUCCCAACUUUAAGGGCAUCCACUGUCCUGCUCUUGGAGUGUCGAAAGAGAGAUAAAUCGUGGGAUAUGUCCCAAUAGGUGAGGGAAUAAGAGUUUGUUUAUACAUUGGUGCUCAUAAAAAAUCCAAUUUCAUAUCUCAUGGAUCGAAUCCUUAUACUGUUGAGAUUACCUCAGGGUUAUGCCUCGAGGCGCACUUUUUCGUCUUUUAAUAGGUCUAACGAAGGUUUAGGAAGAAUAAUCAUAUUUUUGACAUUGUUUACUAUGAAACUUACCAAAAGAAUUCCACUUUCAAUAAAUUUUUGACUUGUCAACGAAUACGUCAAGGAUUUAUUUUCACAAGACUUUAAACUAGUCGUACUUAGAUAUUAUAUUGAACUAACCAAUCGAAAAUAAAUAAAUAAAUGUUAGAAAAGACGCAUUUAUUUAUUUAAAUAUAAUUUUCAAUAUUUCAAAGAUUUUUGUAUUUUAUAAUUGUUGUAAUUAUUUGUAGUCUUCGGAGGACGAUGGGCAAGGUGGAAGGAGAAAGAAGGGACUCAAGGACAAAAUAGAAGACAAGUUAACCGGUAGCAAUAAGGAAGAUCAAACUUACAAUUUGGCUUCGAAGAAUACCACUCCAGCAGGUUAUGAAGCUACCGGAGAACGUGGCGAGGAGAAGAAGGGAAUGAUGGAUAAGAUCAUGGACAAACUGCCCGGCCGCAAUAAUUAAUAAUAUAUAUGUAAACAAAAUAAUAGUCCUUGAAUUAGUUCCUUCGAGAUGAAGUGAGAAACAGACCAUCGCAUGACUCUUUCGACUUGACGGAGCAUCAAUCAAUGUAUCAUUUAGUGCUUGUUUUUCCGUCUUUAAGUUACAUAAAAUGUUAUUGAAAUAAGCCAUGGCCUUGUUCCUACGAACAAAGCAUGUGCAUGUGUGCGUAUUUGCCAUAUUGUGAU